RNAcentral lists this long non-coding RNA (65823 nucleotides) under Vitis vinifera (wine grape). RNAcentral describes it as "long non-coding RNA (VVIN_LNC001392)". Lineage: Eukaryota; Viridiplantae; Streptophyta; Magnoliopsida; Vitales; Vitaceae. The record is from RNAcentral.
CAUAGAACCUAUAUGCUCACAGGGAAAGAAUAAGAUGACCAGUGCACAGCGGGCAGCAGCUCUUAUUUUACGUACAACUCAAAUCCCAAACUAACCAAAGUCGCUCAGUUGGGAUGGGUGGGAGAUGGUGGUUUGUGGGAUGGCUUCUGGGUAGGAGCUGGUGGCUUCUGUCCCUUUGGUGGUUUGCCUAAUGAGCUUGGUGGCUUGUGCUCCGGGAGUUGUUUCUCUCCCUCGAGUAGGUUUCGAGUCUUGUCAGAUGGCUUGUGUUCUGGUGGUGGCUUCUCUCCCUGGGGUGGUUUGCCGAAUGGGCUUGGUGGCUUGUGUUCGGGGAGUGGCUUCUCUCCCUGGAGAAGGUUACGAGUUUUGUCAUAUGGCUUUUGUUCUGGUGGUGGCUUCUCUCCCUGGGGUGGUUUGCCGAAUGGGCUUGGUGGCUUGUGUUCGGGGAGUGGCUUCUCUCCCUGGAGAAGGUUACGAGUUUUGUCAGAUGGCUUGUGUUCUGGUGGUGGCUUCUCUCCCUGGGGUGGUUUGCCGAAUGGGCUUGGUGGCUUGUGUUCGGGGAGUGGCUUCUCUCCCUGGAGAAGGUUACGAGUUUUGUCAGAUGGCUUUUGUUCUGGUGGCGGCUUCUCUCCCUGGGGUGGUUUGCCAAAUGGGCUUGGUGGCUUGUGUUCGGGAACUGGCUUCUCUCCCUUGGGAGGUUCAGUUGGUGGCUGCUGUUCCGUAGGUGGUUUCUUCACCGGCGGCUUGUGCUCCGGAAGCGGCUUCUCUACCUGGAGAAGCUUACGAGUUUUGUCCGAUGGCUUGUGUUGUGGUGGUGGCUUCUCUCCCUGGGGUGGUUUGCCAAAUGGAGUUGGUGGCUUGUGUUCGGGGAGUGGCUUCUCUCCAUUGGGAGGUUUAGUUGGUGAUUGGUGUUCCGUAGGUGGUUUCUGAAGUGGGGGAUGCUUGGGGUAGUCAGCAAGAGACGAGGUAGUGAGAACCACCAGUCCCAGCAGCAACACUAGCAAGCAUGUGGAAGACAUCUUUGAGUUCAGGCUGAGAUCUGUGCAAGGAUAACAGAAUUAGGUGGCCUUUUAUAGAGGCCUGGACCCAACACCCAUAUGACACGUGUCAUGCACUCAUGGUGACACAUAAUUCUAUGGGACCAUUUGGGUCCUACAGAAGUUGCAAAGUUGGACUACUGAGGUGUGAUCACAACUUUUGUCCUUAUUGCUUUCUCUGCGGCCAUUGCACGAUUUCCUUUAGCAUCAUUUUCUUGGCUAAAUAAGCGUAUUAUAUUUGUGGCAGACCGUCCACGUGUCAUAAACAGAUAUAUUAUAAUAAUGUAGUAUGCUUUUCUCCAAUGGAACAUGACACUCUUCUAAGUCUUGUUUUAAAUAUUGUGCAGGAUUACUUUAUACGUUGCAGUUCCAAGUCAAAAUUGGUGGGCAAACGUUGGCCUUUUUUCAUUUCACCUAAGAUUAAUGCUCACCUGGGAUAGGCACUACAUGACUUAUCUGCUCUUUUACUGUAAAGUUGCUUUGUGUAUGAGAUACACCUCCCCUGCACACCCUCAACAUUCGUUGCUCUGUUUUCCUUGUGUCCAGACGAGGAUAUUAAUUGGAGGCUGACAAAACGACUGCUAGCCCAGGAUUUACAAGGUCCUGGUUUGAGGCUUCGGUGAAAGUAUUUUUGAAAAGACACACAUAGAGAUAGUGCGUUUGGUGCAAUGCAGCACUGUGAGCCAUUCUGACGCGUUCUUAAUUUCAAAACUAAUGAAUGCUUCAAAAUUUUAAGAAGUGACAUUUCCAAAUAUUUGAGUUCGUUUAAUUGAACAUUGGAUAACUAGUGAUCAUAGAUUAUUAUCUGUGCUUGGCACUAUAAGAGGGUAUAUGCUUCUUUUUCUGGCCCCUCCUUCAAGGGAGGAGGGACAAUGUGAUCUGUAACGUUAGAAGCUAUUCCAUGUCAUCUUUGGGCUCAGUUCAAAACUAAAAGAUAAUGGGGGGGGGGGGGGGGGGCAUAUCAUUUUAUAUUUCUUCUAGAAGGUUUGUUCUGGAAAUAUUUCACAGGAGCAUAUCUUUUUCUUCUAUUACGUCAUCCGCAGCCUCCAAUAGGUCGGUUAACAAGCCACCGAGUUGAAAAGUUGGAAAAAUGGGAACACAGCCCGCCUCUUGUAUUCAGUAGUUAAAUAAAAGGUCACUAGAAGUGAGAUCCCUUUUGGCGUCUUGAUUUUCAAUCCAGCACCUCUGUGACCUGACAAACCAAAAAAACUAAAAAAUAAAAAACAGUACGUGGGUUGGUGUUAAGCAUCAAGACAUGUUAAUGAAAGAAGGUAGAGAAUAGGAUAUUGAAAUCCCAAUCCUGAUAACAUGAUUUUCUUUGCUAACAACCAUAUUAUAUUUUAUCAAGAAAGAGUAAUGCAUGUGGCGUCCAUCAAGACCCAUUAGAGUUCCGCUAAAGCUAUAGUUCUGUCAACGUUAUCAUUUACGUUUCCUCUAGAUAAUGGCAUUUUCCUCUAAAGCUCUUGCACCAUUAGGCUUCAAGUCAAAAUUUCACAUGUGAACUUUGGAAAUUUUCUCCAUUUGCCCCUAAGGAUACAGUUAGAAUUGACUUAAAAUCCUGAUUGAUAUGUACUAUUAACCAAAGAAUAUUGUAUAUAAUAAUUGAAAUAUUGUUGAUUCAUCGUGGAAAUACAUUUUGUAAGGAAAGUUGUUGAGAAUUUAGUAUGCUAUAUGGAGAAAAAAGUCAUGACUUAAGGUUGUGUAUGUAUAUUCUAUAUCAAAUAUUAGGUAGGAAUGUGGGAAAGAGCAGAGUGUAAUGAUAAGAAACAAAGAAAUAUAAGAUAUUCUUGAAAGUGGAAAAUAUAAAAUGGCUAACGAGUCAAAUUUAUGAUGCGUAAGGGGGAUCAUGUCACAUAAGAAAACCAUGGCAUACUAAAGACGUACGUGUGGUAUGGAGUAAUAAUUUUGUUAAAAUAAGUUUCUUGUUGGAGUACAUUAGGUGACUAUUCAUAACGUAUCAAAUUAAAGAGUCAAGUGCAUCAAUGAAGGCAUAUGUAGAAAAUUUGUUUGUGACAUGUACCAUAAAGAUAAGAUUGACUUGAUAGAAUUUAGUCUAAGUAGGAGUUGUUAAAGGUGUCUUAAAUUUCUAAUUGAUGUAUAUUUUUUUCUAAAAAAAUAUUAUAUAGAUAUUUUAAUAAAUGAUUAAUUCUUUGUAAAAAUACUUACAUAAUAAAAAACAUCAUUAAAAAUAUCUUUAUAAAUAUUUUAAGUUACAAGAAGGAAAAAAACCACUGUGAGAUAAUGAUGAACAUGCAACACUGUACCAAGUAAAUAAAAAUGUGAUAAAAAAAAAAGAGAAACACUCGAUAAAGGAAGGCUCGUAUAUAAAGAGUAAUAUUUUUAAUCAUAUGAUAGAAUGAUUUUCUCUCAUUCAUGAAUAUAGGCAAGAUUGGGGAACCAUUAUAAAAUUUUGUACACCUCGUGUAAAUUGAUGUUUGUCUUCAUAUUUUACACCAACAAAUGACAUUGAAGUUGUCAUUGAUAAAAGGGAAAAGGCAUGCCUCCACACCAUGUGCUUGAUUCGAAUGGUUCAAGUUUGAAGAAUUUUCUCCGGAAGAUCUAAAACAUUUUCGCCUUUAAAUUUCAUUUGAUUAUUAAUAUCCGAAAAAAUAGUUAAAUACUCUUUCUAUUUUUGAGUUGUUGAAUUUUUUGAAAGUUUUUAUAUUUGUUAUCAAGAAUUUCUAUUUUAUUAAGGGUGAAUAUUUAUAAAUAAGAUAUUAUAUAAUAUUUGGAUAAGAGAGAAUGGUGGAAUAUAAUAAAGUUUUAAUCCUUCCCAAUUUUGAACCUUUUUUUUUUUUUUUGAUAUAAUCGCCUUUCUCUUGCAAUCCUAUUAUCAGGUACCUUAUAUUUGCUGAUGCUAUCUGGAACUAAAUUCCAAUCAGGCAUUGUCCAAUUACUAAUAGGACAGAUCAUAUCUCUCUGUUUCUAAACUAACAUGUAUCGUAAUGUGACCUCAUAAGGAAGGCUAGGAAGAUGGAGGAUUUUGUGGGAAGCGACCAGAAUCAGAUGGAAGAGAGAUAGCCCUGUUGACCUAAUGGCUGUAAUAGGAGAAGCGUGUGGUUUUAUGGGACUUAACUGAUACUAAACCUGUAUGAUGCUUGGAGUGGUGUUUCUUUCAUUUUGUUAAGAAAAUAUGGCAGCAUACAUGCUUUCAACUGAGUGCAUCAGAGCAUCCAUAACAGAUGGUCUGCAACCCUAGGUGCAUGCCACUUUCUGACUGAUAAUGAAAUUGUCAGGUACCUGGCCUUGACUAAGCUCAACAGCAUCACAUAAAGAGAAGCUUUCAUACUUAGAUUACUGUUUAAAGUUUUUGCUUAUUUGAUUUCUUAAUGCCAUUAUGACAUUAUUGAUUCAAUUCUGCUUCCGAUUUUCGAAGUUCUGGGCAUCUACUGAUUGCAUCAUUAUAUGAGAAGUUGCAUGAGUUUAUGUAUCCUGUUAUUGUUCCUUUGCGAUUUCACUGCUCACGGGACUAACCUCUCCAUUCAGUCGAAAUGAAUUGUAAUUUCUUUACUGGUAGCAGUAGUACUUUUCAUAGCAAAGAUAAUAGAAAAUAUGAAAUAUAAAUAGAAGGAAAUCUGGAUUGUAGAUAGCACCAUAAGUAACACUCAAUAUUCACUACAUAAUAAAUAGACAGUGUUACAUAGGUAGAGAAACCUACAAUGAGUACUCAUCACCAUUCUCAAACAGAAACAUAGCAGCGACUUAUACAUAGAACCUAUAGGCUCGCAGGGAAAGAGUAACAUGAUAAGUUCACAGCGGGUAGCAGCUCUUAUUUUACGUAUUACUCAAAAUCUCAAACUAACCAAAGUCACUCAGUUGGGAUGGGUAGGAGAUGGUGGUUUGUGGGGUGGCUUCUGGGUAGGAGCUGGUGGCUUCUUUGUUGGAGUUGAAGGAGGCAUAUUCUUCUGAGGUGGCUUGUAUGACUCUUCGGCACUCUCUGCAGGAGGGUGCCCAGGGUUGUGACCAGAAGGAGGUGGCUUCUGUCCCUUUGGUGGUUUGCCUAAUGGGCUUGGUGGCUUGUGCUCCGGGAGUUGUUUCUCUCCCUCGAGUAGGUUUCGAGUUUUGUCAGAUGGCUUGUGUUCUGGUGGUGGCUUCUCUCCCUGGGGUGGUUUGCCGAAUGGGCUUGGUGGCUUGUGUUCGGGGAGUGGCUUCUCUCCCUGGAGAAGGUUACGAGUUUUGUCAGAUGGCUUUUGUUCUGGUGGCGGCUUCUCUCCCUGGGGUGGUUUGCCAAAUGGGCUUGGUGGCUUGUGUUCGGGAACUGGCUUCUCUCCCUUGGGAGGUUCAUUUGGUGGCUGGUGUUCCGUAGGUGGUUCCUUCACCGGCGGCUUGUGCUCCGGAAGCGGCUUCUCUACCUGGAGAAGCUUACGAGUUUUGUCAGAUGGCUUGUGUUGUGGUGGUGGCUUCUCUCCCGGGGGUGGUUUGCCAAAUGGACUUGGUGGCUUGUGUUCGGGGAGUGGCUUCUCUCCAUGGGGAGGUUUAGUUGGUGGUUGGUGUUGCGUAGGUGGUUUCUGAAGUGGGGGAUGCUUGGGGUAGUCAGCAAUAGACGAGGUAGUGAGAACCACCAGUCCCAACAGCAACACUAGCAAGGAUGUUGAAGACAUCUUUGAGUUCAGGCUGAGAUCUGUGCAAGGAUAAAAGAUUUAGGUGGCCUUUUAUAGAGGGCUGGACCCAACACCCAUAUGACACGUGUCAUGCACUCAUGGUGACACAUAAUUCUAUGGGACCAUUUGGGUCCUACAGAAGUUGCAAAGUUGGACUAUUGAGGUGUGAUCACAACUUUUGUCCUACUUGCUUUCUCUGCGGCCAUUGCACGAUUUCCUUUAGCAUCAUUUUCUUGUCUAAAUAAGCGUAUUAUAUUUGUGGCAGACCGUCCACGUGUCAUAAACAGAUAUAUUAUAAUAAUGUAGUAUGCUUUUCUUCAACGGAACUUGACACUCUUCUAAGUCUUGUUUUAAAUACUGUGCAGGAUUACGUCAUAAGUUGCUUGUUCCAAGUCAAAAUUGGUGGGCAAACGUUGGCCUUUUUUCAUUUUCCCUAAUAUUAAUGCUCACCUGGGAUAGGCACUACAUGAUUUAUCUGCUCUUUUACUGUGAAGUUGCUUUGUGCAUGAGUUACACCUCCCCUGCACACCCUCAACAUUUGUUGCUCUGUUUUUCUUGUGUCCAGACGAGGAUAUUAAUUGGAGGCUGACAAAACGACUGCUAGCCAAGGAUUUACAAGGUCCUGGUUUGAGGCUUUCACGAAAGUAUUUUUGAAAAGAUACACAUAGAGAUUGCGCGUUCGGUGCAAUGCAACAAUGUGAGCCAUUCUGAAGUCUUAAAUUUCAGAUUAAUGAAUGCUACAAAAUUCUAAGAAGGGCCGUUUCCAAAUAUUUGAGUUCAUUCAUCCGAACAUCGGGUAUAUGCUUCUUUCUCUAGCCCCUCCUUGAAGGGAGGAGGGACAAUGUGAUCUGUAUCGUUAGAAGCUAUUCCAUGUCGUCAUCUUUGGGCUCAGUUCAAUACUAAAAGAUAUGGGCGGGGCCCUUAUCAUUUUAUAUUUCUUCUAGAAGGUUUAUUCUGGAAAUCUUUCACAGAAACAUAUCUUUUUCUUCUCUACGUGAUCCGUGGUUUGAAAGUUGGAAAAAUGGGUCCGUUAACAAGCCACCGAGUUGAAAAGUUGGAAAAAUGGCAACACCGCCAACCUCUUGUAUUCGAUAGUUAAAUAAAAGGUCACUGGAAGUGAGAUCCCUUUUGGCCUCUUGAUUUUCAUUCCAGCAUCUCUAUGGCCUGAUAAAUUAAAAAACUAAAAAAAAAGACAGUACGUGGGUUGGUGUUAAGCAUCAAGAGUCAAGACAUGAUAAUGGAGAGAAAGGAUAUUCAAAUUCCAGUUCUGACAACAUGAUUUUCUUUGCUGAACUACCAUAUUAUAUUUGAUCAAGAAAGAGUAGUGCAUGUGGCCAGGAUCAAGACAUACAUUAAUUUCCACAUGAUGAAGACAGUUUCUGAGAGUUUCUUCUAAAGCUCUUGCGCGAGUAGGCUUCAAGUCAAAAUCUCCCAUGUAAACACUGGUUUUUCUUUCAUUGCCACUAAGGAUGCAGUUAAUAUUGACUUAAGAUCCUACGUGAUAUAUUUUUUUAAAAGAGCUAUAUUGUAGAUAAUAUUUGAAAUAAUGUUGAUUCGUUGUGGAAAUAUAUUUGUAAGGAAAGUUGUUGACAAUUUAAUAUAGUAUAAGAAGAAAAAAGUUAUCAACUAGCUAGAGAUGAGUAUGUAAAGUGAGGCUCACGAUUCAACGCGUAAAUAUAAGAUAUUUUAAGGCUCAAUAGUUAUGAUAUCUAUUUUAUUUUUUGUAUCUCAUAUAUUCAAAGAUAUAGUAAAAUGAUUUUACAUAUAUAUAUAUAUAUAUAUAUGAACAUAACUAUUUGUGCCAAUUGAUUUUUAUCUUUAUUUUGUAUAUUAGUAAUUAUAUUAAAGUUUUUACUAAUAUAAUAACUAAUAUAAAAGCUUUUUCUAAAAGAGUCAACAGAGCAAAACACUUAUUAUAAAAAAUAAUUUUGAUUGAAGGUGGAGUCAAUUAUUCUUUAUUUAACAUGUAAUGCAUACGGCGUGUACUUCAUAACUAAAGUAUAUAAGUGUAACAUCUCUUAUAUAUUCUCAUUCAAUCUCGAAAGUGGAAAUUUUAAAAAGAUUAAACGGUUCAAAUUUGUCGUGCAUAAAGGGGAUCAUGUCACAUAAGCAAACCAUGGCAUACCAAAGACAUAGGUAUGGACUAAGAAUUUUUUUCAAAUAAGUUUCUUAUUAGGGUACAUUAAUAGGUGACUUUUUAUGACAUAUCAAAGGAGUCAAGUGCACCAAUAAAAACAUAUAUAGAAAAUUCAUGCAUGACAUGUAUCACUAAGAGAAGAUUGACUUGAUAGAGUUUAAUCCAAAUAGGAGAUUGUUAAAAGGUGUCUCAAAUUCUUGAUUGAUAUAUAUUUUUUUUAUUAAAAAGGUUAUUAUAUAGAUAUUUCAAUAGACUAUUAAUUCUUUGUAAAAAUAGUUAUAUAAUGAGGAUGGUGAUUAAAAAUAUCUCUAUCAAUAUUUUGGAUUAUAAAAAGAAAAAAAAUGAGAUAAUGAUAAACAUAUAAAACUUGUACAAGUAGAUAAAGAUGUGAUGAAAGACACUUGAUGAAUGAAGGCUUUGUAUUUCAAGAUAUAAAUAUAUGGAGCAAAACUCUUAAUUAUAUGAUCAAAUGAUUCUCUCAUAUUCAUGAAUAUAAGCAGGAUUGGGGAACCAUGAUAGAAUCUUAUAUGCCUCUCCAUGUAGAGUGAUCGAUGUUUAUCUUCAUAUUUUACACCAGUGAAUGACAUUGAAACUCUUAUUGAUAAAAGGGAAAAGGCAUGGCCUCCACCCCAAGAAAAACAAGUAACCUCGGUUUAAAUCACUAGUCUACACCCCGAAGAGAGAACUAGCCAAACCUACUAAAAGAGAAACUUAACAAUUUAGAAAGAAACCGUCCAUGAUAAAGGGCCCCUAAAGGUCCAAUUCAGUGAGGUCGUGAACAAAAACACUUUCAUGUCAAAACAGAGAUAGGUACCACCAAAAUGUAAAGGGAAAGAUGUAAACCACGUCGAACUUUGGUAAUCAAUGGUAAAGAUAGCAUGAUAGCUAAAAGCACUAAAGCUGUGCUUGGUAUGCAAAAAUGAAAAGUGGAAAUCAGCGUCUUAUUCUUUUUCACCUUUAUUCACAUAUUAGGAUAACUAAUAUCUAAUGUUUUUUAUGUCUCAAAUUCUAUUCCAUGUUAUGGUAAACUUUCAUCUUGUUUAGAUCACUUUUGUCUGGUUUGGGCUCAAGACGAUAAGCCUAUAGAGACUUCAUAUUGGGUUGAAUCGAUGCCCUUGAUCUGAUCUGUUCGUUAGAAAAAUCUGAAUUAUUAUAAGCAUUUAGAUAAAAAAUAAAUAAAUGUGAAACACAAACUACUCCCUGCACAACCUUGACCCUAGUUACUCAGUUUCACUGCUCACAGGACUAACCUCUCCAUUCAGUCGAAAUGAAUUGUAACAAGAAGAUUUUUGACAGGAGGACGGUAGUUUAAAAUAAUAAUUUCUAAAGUACUUUUGUGAAAAAAAAUAAUUCCAAACGUGGAUUUUAUCAAGUAAAAAGAAAAAAAAAAGUUAUUUUCUUUUAAAAUCUGUUCUUCUAAAGAUGAUAUAUAUACCAAAAAAAAAAAUUGUUUUCUGAAGGUAAAAUUUUUAAAAUUCAUUUUUAAAAAAAUUUACACACUAAAAUUAUCUUUUCAAGAGAAGAUUUUUUUAAUUUUAAAUAAUUAUUAAUUUAUAAUUAAUUUGUUAUUAAUUAUUUAUUAAUUUUUUUAUUUGAAAAAUGCAUUUAUAAAAAACAAAUUUGUUAUUAAUUUAUUAAAUAAUUUUUACAAAAUAAAUAAUUUUUUUUUAUUUUAAUUUUAAAAUUAAUUUUAUUAUAUAAAUUUUAAAAUUAAAAAUAUUAAUAUUUAAUUUAAAAUUUAACUAUAAAAGGAAUAAAAUAUAGAAAAAUAAAUUAAUUUAUUAUUCAAUAAAUUAAUUUUCAAUAAAAUUUUCAGCAUUAAGAGAUAAAUUUUUAAGUAUUAAUCAAUUUAAAAAGAAAUAAUGAUCAUUUGUAUAUUAAGAUAUUUUAUUUAGUAAUUAUGAAUGAUAAACAACUAAAGUAAUUUGAAAAAAUAAUAAAAUAUUUAAAAAAUAAUAAUUUAAUACACGUAAAAUUAGAAAUGAUUAACUAUUUUUUAUUAAGAAAAAAUUGAGGAAAUAUUUUGUUAUUUAAAAUUUUUUAUUUGUUUUCAAUUUUUAAUGUUAUAGGUUUCAAGAAAAUUGAUCAAAUAAAAAUUAAGAAGUCAUUUUUUCAAAAACUAUAUAUCUAAAUAAAAGCCUUGAAAUUCAAAUACACAAUAUCAUAAAUAUAAACACCAAGUCAAUCCUUAAUUAUCAAAUGUUUUUAAUAUUAAAGAAUCAAAAUCACCUACUAUCAUGAUAAUAAGAAAACCAAUAAUAUUGUUCAUAUAAAUACUAAAAAGCUAACAAAUAUCCCAAACAAUUAAUAAAGUAUCAAACAUGAUAAAAAGUCAAUUAUUAUCAUGAAUGCAAAAAAUCAAUAAUUUUGUUUAUAUGAACCAUCAACAAAGAAAAAAAAAAUCAAUAUCUAAAUAUUAAACAUAAUUUAUAUUUUUAUAAAUAUUAUUGUUGAUAAAUAUCUUAACAAUUAUAAUUUUAGUAAAUAAAAUUAAUUAAUUUUAGUUUAAGAAUUAUUUUUUUAUACUUUCGUAUUCUUAUCAAAAAUCCCCAUUUUGCAUGUCUCCUUUGGCAUGACUUUCUUACCUAAACAAGCAUAUAUAUAUAUAUAUAUAUAUAAAAUAUUUGGUUAAGAAAGAGUACUAAAGUUUAUAUGGCACACAUCAAGAUAGAAACAGAAGUGGAAGAUAAUCCAAAUGUAUGAACAGAUAUAUUAUAUCCAUGUAGUGGUAGUGACUUCAUUAUUUACUUUUAUCUAAUGGAGCAUGACACACUUCUUCUGAAUAUUUUGCACGAUUAUGUUAUGUGUCAGCUUGUUCUAAGUCAAAACUAGUGAUAAAAAUCGGUUUUUUUUGCAUUUCCUUCAUGAAGAUGGCACCUGGAUGGGGCACUACAUGAGUGGCAUAGCACGAAGUGAUUUAUCUGCUCCCUUUACUAUAAAGUGCUUUGUGUAUAAGUUACACCUCCCCUGCACUGCCUCAACAUUUGUUGUUCUGUCUUCCGUCUGUCCAAACGAGGACAAACGUAUGUUGUAGGUUGACAAAACCACAGCUAGCCUAGGAUUUGCAAGGAUCUAGUUUGAUUCGUAUGCAAAAGGAUUGGUGAAAAGAUUCACAAAGAUAAUGCUUUUUGCAAUGCAAUCUUGUUCUAAUUCAACAGUGUGGACCAUUUUCAUGUAAUGCUUCAACUAGAUGUCAGUUUCAUGAAUUUUUGUUCAUCUAAUUGAUCACUGGAUAGGCCAUAACCCGAAGAAAUUCAAAAUUCCCUUCAGUACUGUAGCUAAGGAAAGAUCCCUAUCUACCACUGGGAUUUUAAGAGGGUAAAAAUGUAGGUGGGUGCCUAUAUCAUUUGCACUUCACUAUAGGCCUCUUUGGGAAGAUUUCUUCUGAAGACAUUUCAAAGAAACAUAUUUUUCUCUUCUCUCCGUAAACGGCAGCUGCAAGUCAGUCCAUUCACAGGCCACCGAGUUGAAAAGGCUGGAAAAUUGGCCAAAGCACCCGCCUCCUGGAUUCCAUGGGUAAGGAAAAGGUCACUGGAGGUGUGAUCCCUGUUGGCCUCUUGAUUUCCAUUCCGCCAUCUAUAUGACCUGAUAACCCAAAAACACAGAAGGAAAACGUCACCUGGGUUCAUAGUAAGCAUCAAGUCAUGAUAGAGACCAGACAACAUGACCAACAAAGAGUAGCGAAUGGGGCCAACAUCAAGCCCCAUUACGGUUAGAAGAUGGAAGAAGUAGAAGACAAUCCAAUUCUGAUAGAUUCGGGCAAAUGUAGUGCUGUUCAAACUUAAUCAUUUACUAUUUCUUCAUGAAUCACGGCAUUUUUCUUCUGAAAAUUUUCCAAGAUUAGGCCUCUGAAGAAAAAUUUCAUAUGUAAAUUGGUAUAUUAAGGAAAAGGCGUUACAAAGGUGAAAAAAAACCAAUCAAAUCUUAUAUAUGACAUCUCAAAAAUAUGAACUUGCUAUAAAUAUUUAAAAUCAAAAUCUUGCACAUCACCUCGUAGUACGAACUUGCUAUAAAACUUGAAAAUCAAGAAGAAAGGGGCAGUAUUGGACGAGACUACUUAGCACAUAUUAUUAUGAUGUUUUUUCAUUUUCUUAAUGUUGUUUUUAUGUCUUAAAUUCUAUUAUUCUAUGUUACGGUAAACAUUCAUCUUGUUUGUGUGGAAUAGGAUCACUUUUCUCUGGGUUGAGUCGAUGCCCUUAGUUAAUUUGUUCAUUUGAAUAAACUAAAUUAUUAUAAGUAUUUAGAUAAGAAAAACGUGAUACAUAAAUUACGCCUCUCGGCACAACUUCAACACUGGUUACUCUGUUUCAGUUUCCUCACACAAGAUUAUUGGUUCUAGGGUUUAUUUGGUUUUGGUUUGAUUCUAAUUGCUAAACUUUCUCAAGGAAGAUGUUAUAUAGGGAGUGAGAAACCUUCACUCUUGGCUACCUCCAAGAGAAGAGCAAGUGGUCUGAAUCAAAGAUAUACUGCUCACUUUUUCUUCUUCUAAGGACAGCUAUGACCUUGCUUUAAGGUUCGAAUAGCCUAAUGCAACCUCCCAUUUCUCAAGUCAGCUGAUGAUGUAAGUCACCUUGGCUUUCCACAUUCAUACGGUGAGGACGUUUGUGGGUGUAAUUCUCUUAACAGUUUUCAUUUUAUAUGGAAAAAUUCAUAAUUAAGGGUAAUUACUGAUUCCAUUUGACAGUGACCAAGUUUAAAAUAUUAAUUCAUAUAUUAAAUGCACAUUAAAAAAUCAUGGAAUAAAUAUAUUUACUAAUAUAUAGUUCUUUUGCCAUGUUCUGUCACAGAAGCAUCGAACUUUCCCUAGAAAUUUUUGCAUGGUAUUCUACUUAUGAUUUUGAAAACUCUAGGCACCUGAGGCCACUAAUUGCAUGGUUGGAUGAGGAGCUGCAUGAGAUUAUGUAUCGUGUUGUUCCUUAACUACAAAUAUCAGUUUUAAGUAGCAUCUCCAUGUGACAUUUUCCUGAUGCAAUUUCGCUGUCCACCAACAAAUUUCACCAUGCAGCAAGAUGAAUUGUAAUUUCUUUAUUGUUAUCAACAGCUUUAAUUAAUCUUGAUAUAUAUAUAUAACUUAGUAGAAGUAUAUUAAUCUAGAUUGUAGUUGCACUAAGAUAAUAGGCAAUAUUAUAACAGUGCCACAAUGCUCAUCGCCAAAUAGAAAGGUAGAAAAACUACAAUGAGUAACUCACAACAUUCUCAAACAGGACAUAGCGGCGACUGAUACAUAGAACACUAUUGGCACUCAGGAAAUGAUAAGAUCAGUGCCCAGCAGGCAGCACGUCUUAUUUUACAUACUACUUAAAACUAACCAAAGUCAUUCAGUUGGGAUGGGUGGGAGAUGGUGGUUUGUGCGGUGGCUUUUGGGUAGUUGGUGGCUUCUUUCCUGGAACUGAUGGUUUUUUUGUUGGAGUUGAAGGAGGCUUAAUCGUCUGAGGUGGCUUGUAUGAGUCUUCAGCACUCUCUGCGGGAGGGUGCCCAGGGUUGUGACCAUAAUGGGGUGGCUUCUCUCCCUUAGUUGGUUUGCCAAGUGGGCUGGCUGGCUUGUGCUCCGGGAGCGGCUUCUCUCCCUUAGGUGGUUUGCCAAAUGGGCUUGCUGGCUUGUGCUCUGGGAGCGGCUUCUCUCCCUCAAGAAGUUUACGGGUUUUGUCAGAUGGCUUGUGUUCUGGUGGUGGCUUCUCUCCUUGGGGUGGUUUGCCAAAUGGACUUGGUGGCUUGUGUUCGGGGAGUGGCUCCUCUCCCUUGGGAGGUUUAGUUGGUGGCUGGUGUUCCAUAGGUGGUUUCUCAACCGGGGGCUUGUUCUCCGUUGGUGGUUUAUGAACUGGGGGAUGCUUGGGGUAGUCAGCAAGAGACGGGGUGGUGAGAACCACCAGUCCCAGCAGCAACACUAGCAAGUAUGUGGAAGAGUACAUCUUUGAGUUCAGGCUGAGAUUUGUGCGAGACUUGAAGAAUUAGGUGGCCUUUUAUAGCUGGCUGCACCCAACACUCACAUGACACGUAUCAUGGUGACACAUGUGCUAUGGGUCCAUUUGGGUCCUACAGAAGCUGAAAACUUUUGACUAUUGAGGUGUGGUCACAACUUUUGUCCCUAUUGCUUUCUCCGCAACCGUUUUACAUGUUUCCUUUGGCAUAAUUUUCUAAGCUAAACAAGCAUAUAUCAUAUUUGGUUAAGAAAGAGUAAAGUGUAUAUGGCACACAUCAAGGAAGAGAAACAGAAAAAGUGGGAGACAAUCAAUUGUGAUAAACAGAUAUAUUAUAUUCAUGUAGUACUAGUGACUUUAUCAUUUACUUUUAUCCAAUAGAUCAUCACUCUUUCUUCUAAAUAUUUUGGAGGAUAAUGGUACAUGUUGCUUGUUUCCAAGUCAAAAUUGGUGGCAAAAAUCGGCAUGAUACGAAAGGAUUGGUGAAAAGAUUCACAUAGAUGGUGCUUUGUGCAAUGCAGUCUUGCUCUAAUUCAACAGAGUGGACCAUGGUGAUGUAUUUUAAAUUUUAAAUUUUAAAUUAAUGCAUGCUUCAAAGUUUUAACUAGAUGUCACUUCCAUGGAUUUUUGUUCAUUUAAUUGAGCACAGGAUAGGCUAUCAAACUUGAAGUAAUAUAAAAAUCCCUUCAUUACUGUAACUAAUGAAAGAUCAUUAUCUGCGCUUGGUAUUUUGCCAAGGUAUUUGCUGCUCUUUCUAGCCCUGUCUUACAGUUAAGGACAAUGUGAUCUAGUUAACCUUAGAAGCUAUUCCAUGUCAGAUACAAGAGAUCAAGCACAUUAUCUUUGGGCUCAGUUCAAAACUAUAAUAUAUGGGUGGGGUGGAGGCCCAUAUCAUUUGCAUAUCACCACUAUUGGUUUAGUUUGGAAGGUUUCUUCUGGAAGAUUGCUGCUUUCUGGAAUCAUUUCAAAGAAAUAUAUCUUUUUGUUCUCUUGGUGACGAGCAGCGGCAAUCAAGUCUGUUGACAAACAACCGAGUUGAAAAGUUUGAAAAUUGGUCACAGCCCACGUCCAUGGUUAAGGAAAAGGUCACUGGAAGUGAUCCCUUCUGGGCCUCUUGAUUUCCAUUCUGACAUCUAUAUGACCUGAUAAAUAGAAAGAAAAAAAAACAGAAGAAAAGCGGCACCCGGGUUCAUAGUAAGCAUCAAGACAGGAUACUGAAAGAAGGGAGAAAGGAGAUUGCAAGUCCAAUCCUGAUAAAAUGAUCAACAAAGAGUAUCAAAAUGGGGCCAACAUAAAGACCCAUUGAGGUUAGCAGAUGGCAUGGCAUUUUUCUCCUUAAGUUUUCCAUGAUUAGACUUGAAGUCAAAAUUUCACAUGUAAAUUUGUAUUUCUACAUUUCCCACUGACGACACCCAACUUCAACUUGAGUUAGAAUAACAUUGUGUGAACUUAUCUGGCCCUCAAAAUUUACUGUGAAGUGCUUUCUGCGUGUGAAGAUUCAGAAAAGCACCAAGGGAACAUGUAUGGUCUGCCUUUUUCUGAUGUUAUGUUUGUCUCUAAUUCUGUUCCAUGUCAUGGUAAAUGUUCACAUUGCUUGUAUGGAACACACCAGGAUCACUUUUUCGGGUUUAUUUUGAGGCUUCAUAUUGGGUUCAUAUUGGGUUCAAUGCUUUUAAUGUGUUCAUUAGACAAAUCUGAAUUAUCAUAUGCAUUUAGAUAAGAACAAUAAUGUGAAACCCUAGUUACACCUCCCCUGCAUAACCCCAACCCUGCUUACUCUAUUUCAGUUUACUCACACAAGUUUUACCGGUUCUUAUAAGUCAAGAAAAGGCAACUGAUGUUGGAUUGACUCUCUUCCAUGUAUAAAAAGCAACUUUUAUAUAUACAUAAAAUAACUUCUUCCCCUCACCAAUGUGGGAUAUCAUGGAUUUAUUCUGGAAACACAUCAAAGGAACAUCUUUUCUCUUGGGUGACCCUAAGUGGUGAGUCAGACCAUUUGCAUGCCAUUGAGUUGCACAGUUGGAUAAAUGCACCUACCUCCUGGGCUCCAGAGUUAAAAGGGUGGAUCCCUGGAUCGCAACCCUCUUGGCAUCUUGGUUUCCAUUCCAACAUCCACAUGACUUGACAAAACAAAAAACAGAAUAAAAUCAUCACUAUUUUCAUGCUAAGCACCAAUACAUGAUGGAAAUCAUUGCUUAAAGAUUUGGGGUCAUUUAGGUUUUGACUGCCUCCUAACACCUCACCUAAUCACAAGUUUUUAUGCUUACAAAUCAAAUAUCGUUCUUCAUUAUAUUAAAAUCAUUUUAAGAUUUCAGAUCCAUCUGCUAAUUAUGAUUAUGAUAACAUUAAUUCACCUGUGCUUCUCAUUUUCGACACACAAGGCAUCUAGGUUUGCAGGAUUUCCUUAUUAGAUGAGAUAAAUGAGUACGCAUGGUUAUGUAUGCAGCAUUCAUUAACCAUGGUAUGUGACAUUUAGAAUUAAGAUAGCAAGCAAACUUUCCCUGCAGCUUGAGUAAAUUGUGAUUUCUUAGCCUCUAUGAGUGGUUCCCAAAUCAAAUUAACAUAGUGAAAUAUACGUAGUCCAGUGAAAGGAAAUGUAAAUUAUAAACUAACAGCACUACACUACUGGUAACACUCGAUACUCUCUAUAUAAUGCAAUGAAAUAUACGUUAUACGUUGCUUGUUCCAAGUCAAAAUUUGUGGCCAAACGUUGGCCUUUUUUCAUUUUCCCUAAGAUUAAUGCUCACCUGGGAUAGGCACUACAUGAUUUAUCUGCUCUUUUACUGUAAAGUUGCUUUGUGUAUGAGUUACACCUCCCCUGCACACCCUCAACAUUUGUUGCUCUGUUUUCCUUGUGUCCAGACGAGGAUAUUAAGUGGGGGCUGACAAAACGACUGCUAGCCAAGGAUUUACAAGGUCCUGGUUUGACGCUUCCGCGAAAGUAUUUUUGAAAAUAUACACAUAGAGAUUGCGCGUUCGGUGCAAUGCAACAAUGUGAGCCAUUCUGAAGUUUUUAAUUUCAGAUUAAUGAAUGCUACAAAAUUCUAAGAAGGGCCGUUUCCAAAUAUUUGAGUUCAUUUAUCCGAACAUCGGAUAAGUAAUGAUCAUAGAUUAUUAUUAUUAUCUGACGUUCUUAUAAUGGUUGGCAUUAUAAGAGGGUAUAUGCUUCUUUCUCUAGCCCCUCCUUCAAGGGAGGGACAAUGUGAUCUGUAUCGUUAGAAGCUAUUCCAUGUCGUCAUCUUUUGGCUUAAGUCAAUACUAAAAUAUAUGGGCGGGGCCCCUGUCAUUUUAUAUUUCUUCUAGAAGGUUUGUUCUGGAAAUCUUUCACCGAAACAUAUCUUUUUCUUCUCUACGUGAUCCGUGGUUGGAAAGUUAGAAAAAUGGGUCCGUUCACAAGCCACCGAGUUGAAAAGUUGGAAAAAUGGCAACACCGCCAACCUCUUGUAUUCGAUAGUUAAAUAAAAGGUCACUGGAAGUGAGAUCCCUUUUGGCCUCUUGAUUUUCAUCCCAGCAUCUCUAUGUCCUGAUAAACUAAAAAACUAAAAAAAAAACAGUACGUGGGUUGGUGUUAAGCAUCAAGAGUCAAGACAUGAUAAUGGAGAGAAAGGAUAUUCAAAUUCCAGUUCUGACAACAUGAUUUUCUUUCCUGAACAACCAUGUUAUAUUUGAUCAAGAAAGAGUAGUGCAUGUGGCCAGGAUCAAGACAUACAUUAAUUUCCACAUGAUGAAGACAGUUUCUGAGAGUUUCUUCUAAAGCUCUUGCGCUAGUAGGCUUCAAGUCAAAAUUUCCCAUGUAAACACUGGAUUUUCUUUAAUUGCCACUAAGGAUACAGUUAAAAUUGACUUAAAAUCCUACGUGAUAUAUAUCUUUAACAAAAGUAUAUUGUAUAUAAUAUUUGAAAUAAUGUUGAUUCGUUGUGGAAAUAUGUUUGUAAGGAAAGUUGUUGACAAUUUAAUAUAGUAUAAGAAGAAAAAAGUUAUCAACUAGAGAUGAGUAUGUAAAGUGAGGCUCACGAUUCAACGCGUAAAUAUAAGAUAUUUUAAGGCUCAAUAGUUAUGAUAUCUAUUUUAUUUUUUGUAUCCCAUAUAUUCAAAGAUACAGUAAAAUGAUUUUAUAUAUAUGAACAUAGCCGAUAGUAUCAUGUUAAAACCUUAUAUGACUCUUUGUGCCAAUUGAUUUUUAUCUUUAUUUUGUGUAUUAGUAAUUAGUAUUAAAGUUUUUACUAACAUAAUAAUUGAUAUAAAAGCUUUUUCCAAAAGAGUCAAACAGAGCAAAACACUUAUUAUAAAAAGAAUUUUGAUUGAAGGUGGAGUCAAUUAUUCUUUAUUCAACAUGUGAUGCAUACAGCGGGUACUUCAUAACUAAAGUAUAUAAGUGCAACAUCUCUUAUACAUUCUCAUUCAAUCUCGAAAGUGGAAAAUUUUAAAAGAUUAAAUGGUUCAAAUUUUCCGUGCAUAAAGGGGAUCAUGUCACAUAACCAAACCAUGGCAUACCAAAGCCAUGAUAUGGACUAAGAAUUUUGUUAAAAUAAGUUUCUUAUUAGGGCACAUUAUGUGACUAUUUAUGACAUAUCAAAGGAGUCAAGUGCAUCAAUAAAGACAUAGAAAAUUCAUGCAUCACAUGUACCACUAAGAGAAAAUUGACUUGAUAGAGUUUAGUCCAAAUAGGAGAUUGUUAAAAGGUGCAUCAAAUUCUUGAUUGAUAUAUAUUUUUUUUAUUAGAAAGGUUAUUAUAUAGAUAUUUCAAUAGACUAUUAAUCCUUUGUAAAAAUAGUUAUAUAAUGAGGAUGGUGAUUAAAAAUAUCUCUAUCAAUAUUUUGGAUUAUAAAAAGAAAAAAAAUAUGAGAAAAUGAUAAACAUAUAAAACUUGUACAAGUAGAUAGAGAUGUGAUGAAAGACACUUGAUGAAUGGAGGCCUUGUAUUUCAAGAUGUAAAUAUAUGGAGCAAAACUCUUAAUUAUAUGAUCAAAUGAUUCUCUCAUAUUCAUGAACAUAAGCAGGAUUGGGGAACCAUGAUAGAAUCUUAUAUGCCUCUCCAUGUAGAUUGAUCGAUGUUUAUCUUCAUAUUUUACACCAAUGAAUGACAUUGAAACUCUGAUUGAUAAAAGGGAAAAAGCAUGGCCUCCACCACAAGAAAAACAAGUAACCUCGGUCUAAAUCACUAGUCUACACCCCGAAGAGAGAACUAGCCAAACCUACUAAAAGAGAAACUUACCAAUUUAGAAAGAAAUCUUCCAUGAUAAAGGGCCCCUAAAAGUCCAAUUCAGUCAGGUUGUGAACAAAAACACCUUCAUGUCAAAACAGGAAUAGGUACCACCAAAAUGUAAAGGGAAAGAUGUAAACCAAGUCGAACUUUGGUAAACAAUGGUAAAGAUAGCAUGAUAGCUAAAAGCACUAAAGCUGUGCUUGGUAUGCAAAAAUGAAAAGUGGAAAUCAGCGUCUUAUUCUUUUUCUCCUUUAUUCACAUAUUAGGAUAACUAAUAUCUAAUGUUUUUUUUAUGUCUCAAAUUCUAUUCCAUGUUAUGGUAAACUUUCAUCUUGUUUAAGUGGAAGAGUAGGAUCACUUUUGUCUGGUUUGGGCUCAAGACGAUAAGCCUAUAGAGACUUCAUAUUGGGUUGAAUUGAUGCCCUUGAUCCGAUCAGUUCGUUAGAAAAAUCUGAAUUAUUAUAAGCAUUUAGAUAAAAUAAAUAAAUAAAUGUGAAACAGAGACUAUUCUCUGCACAACCUUGACCCUAGUUACUCAGUUUCACUGCUCACGGGACUAACCUCUCCAUUCAGUCGAAAUGAAUUGUAAUUUCUUUACUGGUAGCAGUAGUACUUUUCAUAGCAAAGAUAAUAGUAAAUAUGAAAUAUAAAUAUAUAGAAGGAAAUCUGGAUUGUAGAUAGCACCAUAAGUAACACUCAAUAUUUACUACAUAAUAAAAGAGAUAGUGUUACAAAGGUAGAGAAACCUACAAUGAGUACUCAUCACCAUUCUCAAACAGAAACAUAGCAGUGACUUAUACAUAGAACCUAUAGGCUCGCAGGGAAAGAGUAACAUGAUAAGUGCACAGCGGGUAGCAGCUCUUAUUUUACGUAUUACUCAAAAUCUCAAACUAACCAAAGUCACUCAGUUGGGAUGGGUAGGAGAUGGUGGUUUGUGGGGUGGCUUCUGGGUAGGAGCUGGUGGCUUCUUUGUUGGAGUUGAAGGAGGCGUAAUCUUCUGAGGUGGCUUGUAUGAGUCUUUGGCACUCUCUGCAGGAGGGUGCCCAGGGUUGUGACCGGAAGGAGGUGGCUUCUGUCCCUUUGGUGGUUUGCCUAAUGGGCUUGGUGGCUUGUGCUCCGGGAGUUGUUUCUCUCCCUCGAGUAGGUUUCGAGUUUUGUCAGAUGGCUUGUGUUCUGGUGGUGGCUUCUCUCCCUGGGGUGGUUUGCCGAAUGGGCUUGGUGGCUUGUGUUCGGGGAGUGGCUUCUCUCCCUUGGCAGGUUCAGUUGGUGGCUGGUGCUCCGUAGGUGGUUUCUUCACCGCCGGCUUCUCUCCCUGGAGAAGGUUACGAGUUUUGUCAGAUGGCUUCUGUUCUGGUGGCGGCUUCUCUCCCUGGGGUGGUUUGCCAAAUGGGCUUGGUGGCUUGUGUUCGGGAACUGGCUUCUCUCCCUUGGCAGGUUCAGUUAGUGGCUGGUGUUCCGUAGGUGGUUUCUUCACCGGCGGCUUGUGCUCCGGAAGCGGCUUCUCUACCUGGAGAAGCUUACGAGUUUUGUCAGAUGGCUUGUGUUGUGGUGGUGGCUUCUCUCCCUGGGGUGGUUUGCCAAAUGGACUUGGUGGCUUGUGUUCGGGGAGUGGCUUCUCUCCAUUGGGAGGUUUAGUUGGUGGUUGGUGUUCCGUAGGUGGUUUCUGAAGUGGGGGAUGCUUGGGGUAGUCAGCAAGAGACGAGGUAGUGAGAACCACCAGUCCCAGCAGCAAUACUAGCAAGGAUGUGGAAGACAUCUUUGAGUUCAGGCUGAGAUUUGUGCAAGGCUAGAAGAAUUAGGUGGCCUUUUAUAGCGGGCUGGACCCAACAACCAAAUGACACGUAUCAUGAUACACAUAUGUGUUAUAAGAUCCUUGUGGGUCCUACAGAAGUUGAAAACUUUGACAAUUGAGGUGUGAUUACAACUUUUGUCCCUAUUGCUUUCUCGUCAGCCGUUUUGCAAGAUUUUUGACAGGAGGACGGUAGUUUAAAAUAAUAAUUUCUAAAGUACUUUUGUGAAAAAAAAUAAUUCCAAACGUGGAUUUUAUCAAGUAAAAAAAACAAAAAAAAGUUAUUUUCUUUUAAAAUCUUUUCUUCAUGAUUCAUAUACCAAAAAAAGAAUUGUUUUCUGUAGGUAAAAUUUUUAAAAUUCAUUUUUAAAAAAAAAAAAUUACACACUAAAAUUAUCUCUUCAAGAAAAUAUUUUUUAAAUUUUAAAUAAUUAUUAAUUUAUAAUUAAUUUUUUAUUAAUUAUUUAUUAAAUUUAUAUGUGAAAAAUGCAUUUAUAAAAAACAAAUUUUUUAUUAAUUUAUUAAAUAAUUAUUUACAAAAUAAAUAAUUUUGCUUUAUUUUAAUUUUAAAAUUAAUUUUAUUAUAUAAAUUUUAAAAUUAAAAAUAUUAAUAUUUAAUUUAAAAUUUAACUAUAAAAGGAAUAAAAUAUAGAAAAAUAAAUUAAUUUAUUAUUCAAUAAAUUAAUUUUCAAUAAAAUUUUCAGCAUUAAGAGAUAAAUUUUUAAGUAUUAAUCAAUUUAAAAAAUAAUAAUAAUCAUUUGUAUACUAAGAUAUUUUAUUUAGUAAUUAUGAAUGAUAAACAACUAAAGUAAUUUGAAAAAAUAAUAAAAUAUUUAAAAAUAAUAAUUUAAUACACUUAAAAUUAGAAAUGAUUAACUAUUUUUUAUUAAGAAAAAAUUGAAGAAAUAUUUUGUUAUUUAAAAUUUUUUAUUUGUUUUCAAUUUUAAAUGUUAUAGGUUUCAAGAAAAUUGAUCAAAUAAAAAUUAAGAAGUCAUUUUUUCAAAAACUAUAUAUCUAAAUAAAAGCCUUGAAAUUCAAAUACACAAUAUCAUAAAUAUAAACACCAAGUCAAUCCUUAAUUAUCAAAUGUUUUUAAUAUUAAAGAAUCAAAAUCACCUACUAUCAUGAUAAUAAGAAAACCAAUAAUAUUGUUCAUAUAAAUACUAAAAAGCUAACAAAUAUCCCAAACAAUUAAUAAAGUAUCAAACAUGAUAAAAAGUCAAUUAUUAUCAUGAAUGCAAAAAAUCAAUAAUUUUGUUUAUAUGAACCAUCAACAAAGAAAAAAAAAAUCAAUAUCUAAAUAUUAAACAUAAUUUAUAUUUUUAUAAAUAUUAUUGUUGAUAAAUAUCUUAAUAAUUAUAAUUUUUUAUAUAUUAAAUUUAGUAAAUAAAAUUAAUUAAUUUUAUAAUAUAAGAUAUAUAUAAUAAUUAAGAGACUAUUUGUCCCAAACAAUUUAUUUAUUUUUUUUUUAGGAAAUUGUCUCUUCAAGAGACGACUUCUCCCAACAUUUUUAAAAAAAAAAAAAAAAACAUCUAUUCAAAAGACGAUUUCUCCUCAUUUUUUAAAAAUGAAUUUUAGAAAUCAUAUUUUCAAAAAUGAAUUUUAGAAAUCAUAUUUUCAAAAGACGAUUUUUUUUUAUAUAAAUUAUUUUUUAAAAUGACGAUUUUAAAAGGAAAUAACGAUCUCUCUCCUACUUGGCAAAAACUAUGGUAAAUUUGGAAUUAUUUCUUCCACAACCAUAGUUUAAGAAUUAUUUUUUUAUACUUUCGUAGACUUAUCAAAAAUCCCUAUUUUGCAUGUCUCAUUUGGCAUGACUUUCUUACCUAAACAAGCAUAUAUAUAUAUAUAUAUAUAUAUAUCACUUUUGUCUGGGUUGAGUCAAUGCCCUUAACUAAUUUGUUCAUUUGAAUAGUCUAAAUUAUUAUAAGCUUUUAGUUAAGAAAAAUGUGAAACAUAAAUUACACCUCUCGGCACAACUUCGACACUGGUUACUCUGUUUCAGUUUAUUCACACAAGAUUAUUGGUUCUAGGGUUUAUUUGGUUUUGGUUUGAUUCUAAUUGCUAAACUUUCUCAAGGAAGAUGUUAUAUAGGGAGUGAGAAACCUUCACUCCUGGCUACCUCCAAGAGAAGAGCAAGUGGUCUGAAUCAAAGAUAUACUGCUCACUUUUUCUUCUUCUAAGGACAGCUAUGACCUUGCUUUAAAAUGUUCGAAUAGCCUAAUGCAACCUCCCAUUUCUCAAGUCAGCUGAUGAUGUAAGUCACCUUGGCUUUCCACAUUCAUACGGUGAGGACGUUUGUGGGUGUAAUUCUCUUAACAGUUUUCAUUUUAUAUGGAAAAAUUCAUAAUUAAGGGUAAUUACUGAUUCCAUUUGACAGUGACCAAGUUUAAAAUAUUAACUCAUGUAUUAAAUGCACAUUAAAAAAUCAUGGAAUAAAUAUAUUUACUAAUAUAUAGUUCUUUUGUCAUGUUCUGUCACAGAAGCAUCGAACUUUCCCUAGAAAUUUUUGCAUGGUAUUCUGCUUAUGAUUUUGAAAACUCUAGGCACCUAAGGCCACUGAUUGCAUGGUUGGAUGAGGAGCUGCAUGAGAUUAUGUAUCCUGUUGCUCCUUAACUACAAAUAUCAGUUUUAAGUAGCAUCUCCAUGUGACAUUUUCCUGAUGCAAUUUCGCUGUCCACCAACAAAUGUCUCCAUGCAGCUAGAUGAAUUGUAAUUUCUUUGUUGUUAUCAACAGCUUUAAUUAAUCUUGAUAUAUAUAUAACUUAGUAGAAGUAAUUAAUCUAGAUUGUAGUUGCACUAAGAUAAUAGGCAAUAUUAUAACAGUGCCACAAUGCUCAUCGCCAAAUAGAAAGGUAGAAAAACUACAAUGAGUAACUCACACAACAUUCUCAAACAGGACAUAGCGGCGACUGAUACAUAGAACACUAUUGGCACUCAGGAAAUGAUAAGAUCAGUGCCCAGCAGGCAGCACGUCUUAUUUUACAUACUACUUAAAACUAACCAAAGUCAUUCAGUUGGGAUGGGUGGGAGAUGGUGGUUUGUGCGGUGGCUUCUUUCCUGGAACUGGUGGUUUUUUUGUUGGAGUUGAAGGAGGCUUAAUCGUCUGAGGUGGCUUGUAUGAGUCUUCAGCACUCUCUGCAAGAGGGUGCCCAGGGUUGUGACCAUAAUGAGGUGGCUUCUCUCCCUUAGGUGGUUUGCCAAGUGGGCUGGCUGGCUUGUGCUCCGGGAGCGGCUUCUCUCCCUUAGGUGGUUUGCCAAAUGGGCUUGCUGGCUUGUGCUCUGGGAGCGGCUUCUCUCCCCCAAGAAGUUUGCGGGUUUUGUCAGAUGGCUUGUGUUCUGGUGGUGGCUUCUCUCCUUGGGGUGGUUUGCCAAAUGGACUUGGUGGCUUGUGUUCGGGGAGUGGCUCCUCUCCCUUGGGAGGUUUAGUUGGUGGCUGGUGUUCCGUAGGUGGUUUCUCAACCGGGGGCUGGUGCUCCGUAGGUGGUUUAUGAACUGGGGGAUGCUUGGGGUAGUCAGCAAGAGACGGGGUGGUGAGAACCACCAGUCCCAGCAGCAACACUAGCAAGUAUGUGGAUGACAUCUUUGAGUUCAGGCUGAGAUUUGUGCAAGACUAGAAGAAUUAGGUGGCCUUUUAUAGCUGGCUGCACCCAACACUCACAUGACACGUAUCACGGUGACACAUGUGCUAUGGGAUCCAUUUGGGUCCUACAGAAGUUGAAAACUUUUGACUAUUGAGGUGUGAUCACAACUUUUGUCCCUAUUGCUUUCUCCGCAACCGUUUUACAUGUUUCCUUUGUGGUGUUUAAUAGUGUUUUUUUCCUUAAUUCUAAAUAAACCUUAAUACUUAAUAAUGUUAAAUAUUAGGUUAUUUAUUUUUAUAAUAUUUUAUUUAUAUUAAGUAUUAAAAAGUAAAGAAAAAUCAAUAUAUUUAUUUUUCUAUUUAGAAAAAACUAUAUAUUUUUAAUUUUUUUAUUUAAUAAAAAAUUUAUAAUAAAUCAUGAAAAAAUAGAAAAACAAACAACCUAAAUUUUAAAAAUAAAUUGUUUUUAGUAAAAACCCAAAAAAACAAACACCACCUUAACUAAACAAAUAUAUAUUAUAUUUAGUUAAGAAAGAGUAAAGUGUAUAUGGCUCAAAUCAAGGAAGAGAAACAGAAUAAGUGGAAGACAAUCAAUUGUGAUAAACAGAUAUAUUACAUGCAUGUAGUACUAGUGACUUUAUCAUUUACUUUUAUACAAUAGAUCAUCACACUCUUUCUUCUAAAUAUUUUGGAGGAUAAUGGUACAUGUUGCUUGUUGCCAAGUCAAAAUUGGUGGCAAAAAUCGGCAUGAUACGAAAGGAUUGGUGAAAAGAUUCACAUAGAUGGUGCUUUGUGCAAUGCAGUCUUGCUCUAAUUCAACAGAGUGGACCAUGGUGAUGUAUUUUAAAUUUUAAAUUUUAAAUUAAUGCAUGCUUCAAAGUUUUAACUAGAUGUCACUUCCAUGGAUUUUUGUUCAUUUAAUUGAGAACAGGAUAGGCUAUCAAACUUGAAGUAAUAUAAAAAUCCCUUCAUUACUGUAACUAAUGAAAGAUCAUUAUCUGCGCUUGGUAUUUUGCCAAGGUAUUUGCUGCUCUUUCUAGCCCUAUCUUACAGUUAAGGACAAUGUGAUCUAGUUAACCUUAGAAGCUAUUCCAUGUCAUAUACAAGAGAUCAAGCACAUUAUCUUUGGGCUCAGUUCAAAACUAUAAUAUAUGGGUGGGGUGGGGGCCUAUACCAUUUGCAUAUCACCACUAUUGGUUUAGUUUGGAAGGUUUCUUCUGGAAGAUUGCUUUCUGGAAACAUUUCAAAGAAAUAUAUCUUUUUGUUCUCUUGGUGACGAGCAGCGGCAAUCAAGUCUGUUGACAAACAACCGAGUUGAAAAGUUUGAAAAUUGGUCACAGCCCACGUCCAUGGUUAAGGAAAAGGUCACUGGAAGUGAUCCCUUCUGGGCCUGUUGGAAGCAGGGGAGGUUAACACACCAAGCAACAAAGAACAGAGAUAUGCUGCUACUGAUCUAUAUUUUUUAUUUGAUCAUAAGGCUAAAUUUAUACAGAUUGUGUAACAGAUAUGACCUCAAAAAAAAGCAUCAAAUCAAGCUACUUGUUGAACAAACAACUACCUUCUACAAAAUAACAUCAAAAUUUAACUUAAAAGCAAAAACAUAAAAAUAGCAACAGCAAAAAUAGAAACAUAAAAAUAGCUUCAGCAUUCUAGUAAUCUCGUUGACUUCAAUUGCAUGUGGUUGACGAUUUCAGCCUUUUCCUCAGCAGCUACUAAGGCAUAACUCUCAACACUCCUCCUUGACUUAGGAGGUGCAAACUCCAAGUCUUUCUCAUAGAAACUCAAAUCUUAUUUUAGGAAGAGCUUUAGUCAGAAUAUCUACAUUUUGACUGUCUGUAUUGCAGUAGACUAGUUGUAUAUCUCCUUCUUUCUGUACUUCCCUCAAAAAUUACAAUUUAAUCUUGAAGUGCUUUGUUUUACCAUGAAAAACUGGAUCAUUUGCAAUAGAUAUAGUGGCCUGGUUGUCUACAAACACCUUUGUACUCACUUCUUGCUUCAUAUCCAAAUCUGUCAGCAACUUUCCAAGCCAUAAGGCUUGAUUUACAGCUGUAACAGCAGCAAUAUACUCUGCCUCAGCUGUGGAUUGAGCCACGACUUCUUGCUUCCUUGAACUCCAUGAAAAAACACCAGAACCAAAACUAAAACAAUAGCCUGAAGUACUUCUCAUAUCGUCAACACAACCAGCCCAAUCACUAUCAGAAAAUCCAUGAAAAUUGAAACUUUGAACUUGACUGAACUUAAUGCCAUAAUCCACAGUGCCUUUAACAUUUCUUAUCACACGCUUUGCUGCCUGGAAAUGAAUUUCACUAGCACAAUGCAUGUAUCUCGAAAGUAGACUUACAGCAUGCAUUAUAUCGAGUCUUGUUGCAGUCAAGUACAUUAAGCAUCCAAUCAUGCUUCGAUAAAGUCCUUCAUCUACCUUUUUAGCACCGUCCUCCUUACAGAACUUCUCUUUCUGGUUCAUAGGGGUAGAUGUAGGUUUGCAUUCCUCCAUUUUGAAUUUCUUCAUAAUUUCUUUGGCAUAUUUUUGUUGGCAGAUGAAAAUCUCAUUCUGCUUCUGGUGUACUUCCAUUCCCAAGAAGUAAGACAUCUCAUCUAGGUCUGUCAUCUCAAAAACCUGCUCCAUUUCAGCCUUGAAUUUGUUCACAAACCCUGCAUUACUUCCUGUUACAAGCAAAUCAUCAACAUAUAGAGAAACAAUUAAUAUAUCUUCUUCAAUCUUCUUAAUGUAGAGUGUAAAUUCACUCAAGCUCUUGUGAAAGCCUAAAGUUAGCAGGUGAGUGUCAAUCCUGCUGUACCAAGCUCUAGGGGCUUGUCUUAACCCAUACAAGGCCUUCUUAAGAAGGUAUACUUUUUCUUCUUUUCCUUUGAUAGCAAAACCUUCUGGUUGUUCGACAAAAAUCUCUUCCUCUAAGUAGCCAUUCAAAAAUGCUGACUUCACAUCUAGUUGAUAAAUCUUCCAUUUUCUUUGAGCUACAAGAGCCAACAACAUCCUGAUUGUAUCCAAACGAGCUACUGGUGCAAAGGUUUCCGAAAAGUCAACACCAAACAUUUGUGCAUACCCUUUGACAACCAGCCUUGCUUUAUGUUUGUUUAUAGAACCAUCAGAGUUGAGUUUGGUUCUGUAAACCCACUUAACCCCAAUAGGUUUUUUGUGUGAAGGUCUAUCUACUAGCUCCCAAGUGUUGUUCUUGUCAAUCAUAUCUAGCUCCUCCUGCAUUGCAACCCUCCAUCUUUUAUUUUCAGCAGCUUCAACAAACCCUGCAAGUUCAAGAACAGCUAUAUUACACCUUUGAUAAAUAUCAAAAAGUGUCAUGAAACCUCUAACUGGAAGUUCAUCAACAUCUUCAUCAAUAUAUUGCUGAUUCUGCUCAUCCCAACUCCAUUUCUCCGUUUCCAAAAACUUAACAUCUCUACUUACCACAAUUUUACUAUUUUGUGGCAAGUAGAUUCUGUAAGCUUUUGAGGUGCUGUUGUAUCCAAUGAAAAUUCCUGGUUCUGACUUUUUAUCUAGCUUGUCUCUUUUCACCUGAGGAACAUAAGAGAAACACAAGCAACCAAAGGUCUUUAAAUUCAUUAGCAUAGGCUUAUAAGCAAACCAGGCCUCAAAAGGUGUCUGUUUCUGCAAUGCUUUUGUUGGUAGUCUAUUUAGCAAAAAUACUACUGUAUUUGCAGCUUCAACCCAAAAACUUUUUGGCAGCUCUUUCUCAUGCAAAAGACAUCUUGUCAUUGAUUACUACUCAAAAAGUGCUAUUUGAUAGCCUUUAAUUAAUCCUUUUUAACACUUUUGAGUAGUAGUUUAGGCCUUUUAACUCAAUUGGCAUGUUAAGGAUCCUUUAAAGCAAUUUUGAUCACUUUGUGCAAGUUUUGGUGUUUUUGUUAGUAUUUCGAUCACCAAAGCAAGUCAAGAAUGAGGAGAGCUAUGAGGAAUCUUGGGCAAAGCUUAGAAUUCAAUUGCCAAGAGUGAAUCCGGAUUGCAAGGAGAAAAAGCAAAGAGGAUCAGUCAUGGAGCAUAUUCUUGAUGACAGUCGUAGCAGCCACUUUUGGAUCACUUUCUGAAGUCCAAAUGAUGCAAGCUAUAUACCAUUUCAAAGCUCAGGAAGUCAACAAUCCAAUGCUUCAAACGGUGUGCGAUUCGGAAUUGAAACGAAGAAGUUGCAGCCAUUACAAGCCAGACACUCUAAAGUGUUGCGGAAUCAGCCAUGUGUUGCGAGAAUUUCGCAGCACUUUUGUACAGUAAGGUGUUUCUCCUUCUAACGAUGCACGAACCAUGCCGCGAGAAGGGAGCUGGAAACUUCAAGAUGGAAGCCAACUUUGCAGCCUAGUGAAGAUAGCUCGGUCUUGCAAGAUAAUUUCGCAGCCCUCUUGGGUGUCUGCGAAAUUUCGCAGGCCUCAUUUUUCACCUGCGAAAUGGCUCUUGAAGCCUCCCGAAGCUUGCUACCGACAUUGGGAGAUAUUUUCCAUUAGAUUUUUGUUGUCUAAAUCCCAAAAUACUCCUUGUAAACCACCAAUUACAUGAUUCCUUAGUUUUUAAGUUAGUAAAAAGACCAAAUAUCUUUGUAACAAUUAGUUUUAUAUUUUGUUGUUAUAAAUACCUCUCGGGAGCCUGUUCUCAGGGAGGAGUUCCUUCUGUAAACGUUUGGUAAGCAAGUAAAGUCUAUUUUCUUUCUACUGCCUUACCUUCUCACUUUGUAUUUUCAUUUUAUUUCUAAGUUAUGAAUUCUCUGAGGAGUUUUCCCCAAAGAAUGAGUAACUAAACCUCCAAUUCCUUGGAGCUAAGGUUGCCGGGGAAGGUUCCAAGUGCAAGAAUGCAAAGCUCUGUGGUUUUAGCUAGUAAUGAAGAGGAAGUGAAAUCCUUUAGUGAUUUCAAUGUUUUUAGUUAACUUAAAACACUUUGGAGUCACCUGGGCCAACACUUGGUAAGGCAAGUGAUUUCCAACCAUGGAAAUGCACUAGUUUACCCCUUGCGAGCCUCUGGUAGGUGACUUCAAGGUAGGAUUUUCUGGAAUUACCAACACUUGGUAAGCUUUUGGACUCCUAGGAGACAUCCAUUAGUUAUCUCUUGCGAGUUUGUGAAGGGAAUCCAAGGUUAAAGAUCACCUUGAAUGGUAAGUGCUCGUGAGAGGCAUGAACCAUUGCAAGUUGUAUCAGUGAGAGAAUUAAAGUGAAAUCUAAUUGAAGGAGUCUUUGUACAUCACCGGUUAGAGAAUUGACUAUAAGUUGAAUCUCUAAUGCGAGGAAAUGAACCAACUGACCAGAGCCGUGUCUUUUGCAUGAGGAACCACCCCAGUGAACCUAAAUCUCCAAGGAAUGUUUUUUUCUUCCUAAAUUAUUCCAAACUUCUGUUAAGUUAGUUAGUUUAAAUCUCAACCUUUACAAAUCAAAGUUUGUGUUUUAUUCCUUAAGCUAACCGUGAAAUGAAACAAGACCAAUUCACUUGGAAUUGGUAUCAUUGAUUGCCUGCAAAUCAUUCCCAGUGAACGAUCCUAGAGCCACUAUACUAUAGUAGCUUUGUAUUUGCUACCCUAGUGUAUGGUGUUAUAGGUAUAAAUUUUGUUGAUCACUUCCUCAAUCAAGGAGCACCAGCUGAACACAAAUCAGCUGAGACACCAAUUAGGCAUGAGUCAAAUGGCGCCGUUGCCGGGGAAUGAAUGUCAAGUUCAUUGUGAUACCAUUGUUGAGCACUUGUGAUUUUCAUCACAAGUUGGUAAAGUUUCUUUCACUUUACUAAUUUUCAUUCUUUCUUUGUUUAUUUACAAUCUAAGUUUAUCUUUUUAAAUUUUAGUCUAGUUUAAUUUUGUUGUUGUAGCCCUGUUUUUCUUGUUGUCCUCUGUUUUCAUUUUUUUUUUCAGGUAGAUACUAGUUGUGUAUGCCCAAGUGGAUACGAGACAUAGGAGGUAGGCUUGUUAAGUGUGAUACACCUCAGAAAGGAGAAUUUGAAGUAAUCUUGAAUAUCAUGGAGGCUGCACCUGAAGAUCAGCAUAGUCACCAAGGUCGUCAAGACAAUCUCAAUGAAUUCAGAUCAAUGAGGGACCGUAUGCAUCCACCUCGUAUGAGUACACCAUCAUGUAUAGUGCCCCCUACAGAGCAGCUAGUGAUCAGACCAUAUCUUGUUCCACUUCUACCAACUUUCCAUGGGAUGGAAAGUGAGAAUCCGUAUGCACACAUCAAGGAAUUUGAAGAUGUUUGUAAUACAUUCCAAGAAGGAGGAGCUUCAAUUGACUUGAUGAGGCUUAAGUUAUUUCCUUUUACUUUAAAGGAUAAGGCCAAAAUUUGGCUUAAUUCUUUAAGGCCAAGGAGUAUCCGCUCUUGGACUGAUUUACAAGCUGAGUUCCUUAAGAAAUUUUUUCCUACUCAUAGAACAAAUGGCUUGAAAAGGCAAAUUUCAAACUUCUCAGCUAAAGAGAAUGAGAAAUUCUAUGAGUGUUGGGAAAGAUACAUGGAAGCUAUAAAUGCUUGUCCUCACCAUGGCUUUGAUACUUGGCUAUUGGUGAGCUAUUUUUAUGAUGGUAUGUCCUCCUCAAUGAAGCAACUCCUCGAGACAAUGUGUGGAGGAGAUUUCAUGAGCAAAAAUCCAGAGGAAGCUAUGGAUUUCUUGAGCUAUGUAGCUGAUGUUUCAAGGGGAUGGGAUGAACCAACUAAAGGAGAAGUGGGAAAGAUGAAGUCUCAGUUGAAUGCUUACAAUGCAAAGGCUGGGAUGUAUAAUUUGAAAGAAGAUGAUGACAUGAAAGCAAAGUUGGCAGCUAUGACAAGAAGAUUGGAGGAGCUGGAGCUGAAAAGAAUGCAUGAAGUGCAAGCUGUUGCUGAAGCACCAGUGCAAGUGAAGCUGUGUCCCAAUUGUCAAUCAUUUGAACAUUUGGUGGAGGAGUGCCCUGCAAUUUCAGUUGAAAGGGAAAUGUAUAGAGAUCAAGCAAAUGUUGUUGGACAAUUUAGGCCCAAUAACAAUGCUCCUUAUGGAAAUACCUACAAUUCAAGUUGGAGGAAUCAUCCAAAUUUCUCAUAGAAGGCCAGAGCAACUCAAUACCAACAGCCGGAUCCACCAUCUCAGCAAUCUUCAAGUAUUGAACAAAUAAUAGCCAAUCUCAGCAAGGUAGUGGGAGAUUUUGUGGGAAAGCAAGAAGCCACCAAUGCUCGAGUUGAUCAAAGAAUGGAUAGAAUGGAGAGUGUGUUGAACAAAAGAAUGGAUGGAAUGCAAAAUGAUAUGAACCAAAAGUUUGAUAACAUCCAAUAUUCAAUUUCAAGGCUUACAAAUUUGAAUACACUGCAAGAAAAAGGAAGAUUUCCUUCUCAACCUAACCAAAAUCCCAAAGGUGUCCAUGAAGUGGAAAGCCAUGAGGGAGAAUCAUCACAGGUGAAAGAUGUGAAAGCUUUGAUCACUCUAAGGAGUGGUAAGAAAAUUGAGCAGCCAACACCCAUGCCACAUGUUGAGAAAGAAGAAGGGAUAAAGAAAGGAAAGGAAAUAGAAGAUAAAGACAGUGAGAUCAGUGAAGAAAAGAAGGACUCUGAUUCAACAAUCAAAGCAAUUCCAGAGAAAGAGCUUCUGAAGGAAGAAAUGCUGAAGAAAUCAACUUUUCCACCUUUUCCUCAAGCAUUACAGGGGAAAAAGGGGGUUAGAAAUGCAGCUGAAAUCCUUGAAGUCUUAAGACAAGUAAAAGUUAAUAUUCCACUGCUGGAUAUGAUCAAACAAGUUCCAACGUAUGCAAAAUUCCUAAAGGACUUGUGUACUAUCAAAAGAGGGGUUGACUGUAAACAAGAAAGCCUUCUUGACUGAGCAAGUAAGUGCAAUCUUACAAUGCAAGUCUCCUUUGAAGUACAAAGACCCUGGAAGUCCUACCAUUUCAGUCAUGAUUGGAGGAAAGGUAGUGGAGAAAGCCUUGCUAGACUUGGGAGCAAGUGUGAAUUUGCUUCCAUACUCUGUCUACAAGCAACUGGGACUUGGAGAGUUGAAGCCAACAGCAAUCACUUUAUCUUUGGCAGAUAGAUCAGUGAAAAUUCCAAGAGGAGUAAUUGAGGAUGUAUUGGUUCAAGUGGAUAAUUUCUACUAUCCAGUAGAUUUUGUUGUUCUUGAUACUGAUCCAACUGUAAAGGAAGCUAAUUUAGUUCCUAUCAUCCUUGGAAGGCCAUUUCUUGCAACUUCAAAUGCAAUCAUCAACUGUAGAAAUGGGCUUAUGCAACUCACUUUUGGUAACAUGACACUGGAUCUCAAUAUUUUCUAUAUGUCUAAAAAGCAAAUCACUCCUGAGGAAGAAGAAGGUCCAGAAGAGCUAUGUAUUAUUGAUACUUUGGUGGAGGAGCACUGCAAUCAGCAUAUGCAAGAUAAGUUGAAUGAAAGUCUUGUGGAUAUUGAGGAAGGUUUUUCUGAAUCUCCUAUUGGGCUUGCUACUCUACAAAGUUGGAGAAAGAUAGAAGGAAUUCUACCUUUGUUCAAUGAAAAAGAGGAGGCAACUGUUGAAGAAGAAAUUCCAAAACUCAAUUUGAAGCCUUUACCUGUGGAGCUGAAAUAUACAUAUCUUGAAGCAAAUAAUCAAUGUCCUGUUGUGAUAUCCUCAUCUCUGACCAGUCAUCAAGAGAAUUGUUUAAUGGAAGUUCUCAUGAGGUGUAAGAAGGCAAUAGGAUGGCAAAUAUCUGACUUGAAAGGCAUUAGUCCUUUAGUUUGUACUCAUCAUAUAUAUAUGGAGGAGGAAGCAAAGCCAAUUCGUCAAUUUCAAAGAAGGUUGAAUCCUCAUCUACAAGAGGUGGUGCGAGCUGAGGUGCUGAAGCUACUUCAAGCAGGAAUCAUUUACCCUAUUUCUGAUAGCCCUUGGGUGAGUCCUACUCAAGUGGUACCAAAGAAGUCAGGGAUCACAGUGAUUCAAAAUGAAAAAGGGGAAGAAAUUACUACACGCCUCACUUCAGGUUGGAGGGUGUGUAUUGAUUAUAGAAAGCUGAAUGCUGUCACCAGGAAGGAUCAUUUUCCAUUGCCAUUUAUUGAUCAAGUGCUGGAGAGAGUCUCUGGACAUCCAUUUUAUUGUUUCUUGGAUGGGUAUUCAGGCUAUUUUCAAAUUGAAAUUGAUUUGGCAGAUCAGGAAAAGACCACUUUUACAUGUCCAUUUGGAACAUUUGCUUAUAGAAGAAUGCCUUUUGGUUUAUGCAAUGCACCUGCUACAUUUCAAAGAUGUAUGUUGAGUAUUUUCAGUGAUAUGGUGGAGAGAAUUAUGGAGGUUUUCAUGGAUGACAUCACCGUAUAUGGAGGUACAUUUGAGGAGUGCUUGGUUAAUUUGGAAGCAGUUCUUCAUAGAUGCAUUGAAAAAGAUUUGGUGCUGAACUGGGAGAAAUGCCAUUUUAUGGUACGUCAAGGAAUUGUCCUUGGCCAUAUCAUCUCUGAAAGAGGCAUUGAAGUUGAUAAAGCAAAGGUGGAGCUUAUUGCCAAAUUACCAUCUCCAACAACUGUGAAAGGAGUAAGACAGUUCCUUGGCCAUGCAGGGUUCUAUAGGAGGUUUAUAAAAGGUUUUUCAAGUCUUUCAAAACCUCUUUGUGAGCUGUUAGCUAAGGAUGCUAAGUUUAUAUGGGAUGAAAGGUGUCAGCAUAGCUUUGAUCAACUGAAGAAGUUUUUAACAACAACUCCAAUAGUGAGAGCCCCUAACUGGCAAUUACCUUUUGAACUGAUGUGUGAUGCCAGUGACUUUGCUAUAGGAGCUGUGCUUGGCCAAAGAGAAGAUGGGAAGCCCUAUGUGAUUUACUAUGCAAGUAAAACACUAAAUGAAGCUCAGAGGAACUACACAACUACAGAGAAAGAAUUGUUAGCUGUGGUAUUUGCUUUGGACAAAUUUCGAGCUUAUUUAGUGGGGUCUUUCAUCAUUGUCUUCACUGACCAUUCAGCCUUGAAGUAUUUAUUGACAAAGCAAGAUGCAAAAGCAAGGUUGAUUAGAUGGAUUCUAUUGUUACAAGAGUUCGAUCUUCAAAUCAAAGAUAAGAAAGGAGUGGAGAAUGUAGUAGCUGACCACUUGUCAAGGUUAGUUAUAGCACAUAAUUCCCAUCCCUUGCCUAUCAAUGAUGAUUUUCCUGAAGAAUCACUCAUGUUCCUAGUGAAAACUCCUUGGUAUGCUCAUAUUGCUAAUUAUUUAGUAACUGGGGAAAUUCCAAGUGAGUGGAAUGCACAGGACAGGAAGCACUUCUUUGCCAAAAUUCAUGCUUAUUAUUGGGAAGAGCCCUUUCUCUUUAAGUAUUGUGCAGAUCAGAUUAUUAGGAAGUGUGUCCCUGAAGAUGAGCAGCAAGGGAUUCUAUCUCAGUGUCAUGAGAAUGCAUGUGGAGGCCACUUUGCCUCUCAGAAAACAGCCAUGAAGGUAUUACAAUCAGGGUUUACUUGGCCAUCUCUUUUCAAAGAUGCCCACAUCAUGUGUAGAAAUUGUGAUAGAUGCCAAAGGCUUGGAAAGCUAACAAAAAGAAAUCAAAUGCCUAUGAACCCCAUUCUGAUAGUUGAGAUAUUUGAUGUUUAGGGCAUUGACUUCAUGGGACCUUUCCCAAUGUCUUUUGGUAAUUCUUACAUUUUGGUGGGGGUAAAUUAUGUUUCUAAAUGGGUUGAGGCAAUCCCCUGUAAGCAAAAUGAUCACAGGGUGGUUCUCAAGUUUCUUAAAGAGAACAUUUUCUCAAGAUUUGGGGUGCCCAAGGCCAUAAUCAGUGAUGGAGGAGCUCAUUUUUGCAACAAACCUUUUGAAGCUCUGUUAUCCAAGUAUGGAGUGAAGCAUAAGGUAGCCACACCUUAUCAUCCUCAGACAUCCGGGCAAGUUGAGCUAGCUAACAGGGAAAUAAAGAACAUUUUGAUGAAAGUGGUGAAUUCCAACAGAAAAGAUUGGUCUAUUAGGCUUCAUGAUUCAUUGUGGGCAUAUAGAACAGCUUAUAAAACUAUUCUUGGGAUGUCUCCCUAUCGUCUUGUCUAUGGCAAAGCAUGCCAUCUCCCUGUGGAAGUUGAAUACAAAGCUUGGUGGGCAAUAAAGAAGCUGAAUAUGGACUUGAUCAAGGCCGGAGAAAAGAGAUUUCUAGACCUUAAUGAGAUGGAGGAAUUAAGAAAUAAUGCUUAUAUCAAUUCCAAAGUUGCAAAACAGAGGAUGAAGAAGUGGCAUGAUCAACUCAUCUCCAACAAGGAAUUUCAGGAAGGGCAAAAAGUUUUGAUGUAUGACACAAGACUCCAUAUCUUUCCUGGGAAGCUCAAAUCAAGGUGGAUUGGUCCAUUUGUUAUUCACCGAGUAUAUUCCAAUGGAGUGGUGGACUUAUUGAAUUCCAAUGGCAAGGAUAGCUUUAAAGUCAAUGGAUAUCGUCUCAAGCCGUUCAUGGAGUCAUUCAAAUCAGAAAAGGAGGCAAUCAACCUCCUUGAACCUCAAAAAGCCUAAGUGAAAAGGGUUUGCUGGACGUGGCUUUACCACAGUCCAAAAUUUUUGUAAAUUUUGUAAAUUUUCAAGUUGUUUCUAUACUUUUGAUUUUAGUUUUUGAUCUUAAAUCAUGUUUUUAGGUGUGUUUUAAUCGUUUUAAAUGAUCCCAGGUGGAAGAAAUUUCAAGGGGAUUGAAAGAAAAAAAAUCGGGUCGAAAUUGGAGCCGAAACAGAGCAAAAACAGGGGAAAAACAGAGCUCUGCGAAAUUUCGCAGGGUGAAGGAAACCUCUGCGAAAUGAGCAUUUUGUUGCGAAACCAUUCCGCAGCACUGUAGAAGCCUCUGCGAGUGUAUUUCGCAGCUGCGAAAGUGAAUUUGGCACACGAGUGCCACUUCGCAGUACAGUAGCAUCCAUUUGGCAGCUGCGAAACUCAUUGCGAAAUGGAAAAGCGUGAUUUCGCACCAAAAGUCCCAUUCCGCAGGGUAUUUCGCAAUUGCGAAAGUGGUUUUGGCACACGAGUGCCACUCCGCAGCACAGUAACAUCAAUUUCGCAGCUGCGAAACUCACUGCGAAGUUGCUGCGAAAAUGGCAAGUUGCUGCGAAAUUGGCGUUUAGUUGCGAAACUUAAACUGACCCCUGAGCUUCCGUUUUUCCUAUUUAUACCGGUCAAAAGUGCUGCGAAAAGGGUUUCAAAAAUCAGAGCACCAUUCUCGCAGCCCCUUCAUCUUCUUCGCCAAGCCACGCCGUCCGAACCUCCGGUCGUCUUCUCCGUUUAGCAGCGCCGGCCAAAGAUCGAUAUUCCAAAAUGGCACGAACGCGAGGGGCAAAAUCUUCAUCCCCUUCGAAUCGCAAAAGGAGUCUGCGAAAGGAGCCAAGUCCAGGUUCUGCUCCAGAACCUGCUCCAAAGCCUUCGCCGUCGAGACCACAACCUUCUCCAGUGAAGCCGGCGCCACUAAAGCCGCCGGCAAGACGAUAUUUGACAAGGUCAGGCGGUUGGCCAUUGAAGAAGAAGCCCAGGGUUGAGAGCUCUGAACCAAUUGAUUUGACUGAGCAAUCCCCUGAGCAGUCCCCAAAUCCUUCACCAGUUCAAACUCCAGUGCCGUCACCGGUUCCCUCGCCAAUUCCCUCACCUGAAGCAACUCCAAUUCCAUCGUCGGUACCAUCUCCGGCACCCCAAGAAAAAGCUCAGGAGCCUCAAGCGCCAAUUCCAGAGCCCCAAAUUGCAGCUGAAGCACCUCUGGAAGAAGUGAUCCGAAGGCCAAUGCUGCCCCAGCCCCCAAUCGAAGGAAACUUGGAUUGUCGAACACGGGCAUUCCAUUCUGAGCUUUGCUUCGAUUUAACAGCAUUCAGAGUGAGGCCAGAGCUUGCCCAAUCCUUCCAGCUGCUGAGGAGAUAUCAUAUGGAGCAUCUGCUAGCUCCAAGGGAUUUUUUCUAUCCCCGGGUAGUCACGGACUUCUACCAGACCAUGACAACCAAAGAAGUAAGAAAUCCAACUCUGAUCCAUUUCAUAAUUGAUGGAAGGCAUGGUAUUUUGGGAGCAAGACACAUUGCUGAAGCUCUGCAAAUUCCUUUUGAGCCAACCCAAUUCGACAAUUUUAAAGCUUGGGUAAAUCCUACUGAGUUAGAGAUGGUUCGCACACUAACCAGAGGAGCUGCAAAUCGAUCACACCUGUUGAGGGGGGAGCUACCUCCAGUGAUGUUUUUGAUUGAUGCCUUUUUGAGGCAUAAUAUCUAUCCCCUGCAGCAUUGGACCCAAAGAAGGGGAAUUCUCCUGGAAGCUUUGUACAAGAUGUCAGAAGGAUUCUUCUUUGGGCCCCAUCAUCUUAUCAUGGCAGCCCUUCUAUACUUUGAGGAAAAGGUUCACAAGAAGAAACUUCAAAGAGCAGAUUGCAUUCCACUCCUCUUCCCAAGGCUGCUAUGCCAAGUUUUGGAGCAUCUCGGAUACCCCUCUGAGCCUCAGCAGGAAAGAAAGAGAAUAUGCCGUGAGCCAUUUACUCUUGAUAAAUGGAAUAAUAUGACGGCCUACAAAAUUGAUCAGCCUGGGCAGCCUCAGCCAGCAGCAAGGAGAGCCUCCCCAAGACAUGCACCUGAAGGUAUAACACUUGCUACUCCUGCCAUCCCUCGAGCUUCACCAGCUGCACCUGCUGCAUCACAGCCAUCCACAUCAGCUGAGCCGAGGAUGGCCAUCCCUAUAUCCGAAUAUCGAGAGCUGUGCCGAGCAUUGGAGACUCUUACAGCUUCCCAGAGCAAUCUUGCUCAAGAGUUGGCAGCCAUCAAAGCAUGCCAGGAGCAGAUGUUAGCCUCUCAGGCUCAACAAGCUGCCAUCCUAAGGCAGCUUCAAGUCCAUUUCGAUCUGCCACAAGCUGUAGAGCCCUCCACUGAGACUCCACCAGAGCCACACUCUCAGCCUUCAGAGUCUCUUCCUCCAGAGCCAGAAGCCCCAACUGAUCCACCUACAGAGGAGGCGGAUCCUUCUGCUUAGCACCAUCACCCCACUCAUCAGACAUUAUAUAUAUUUGCUGUUUAUGUUUUUAUGCAUGUUUGUUUUGUUUUAGUUGAAAUGAAAUCCCAGUAUUUUGGUACUAUAUAUGGGAUUCCUUGUGAUUACUUGUCCUUAGCAUUGUACUCGAAUGAAUUGAAAGUAAUACAAGUUGAAUUUUUCUUGUUAAAAGUUAGCAUUAAAAUUCUCCUUAUUUCCUUUUCUCACAUAUUCUAUUCUUUUUGAAACAUGUGGUUUUCCCCAAUCAAUAUUCGAAUUUGAUAUCAGCAUGGAGGUACCACUUCCUCCCUUUUAUUACAGUCACUCAAAUCACAUUGAGGACAAUGCUCAGUUCGGUUGGGGGGUAUGAGGAAGGAAGUAUUCUAAAUCUUUUUGGUAUUGCAAUUAUAUUGGUUAAUUAGUUGUAGAUUUUACGUUUUACUCUUGUUACUCUAUUCUCCAUGAAUUUUGAGGAAAAAUUUUCAAAUUAAACCAAGAGAAAUUGAACUGUUGUUUUUCACUUGACUUAGAGUAUGGAUUAUGCUUACUAAAGUGGUUCAAUUGUUGAAACUUCUACUGAAAUUGAAUUGAGUUCUUCCAUUUUAAGCUAUCCACACACUGUGCACAUUAGUUUCUGAUUAUAAGAUGAAAAGCUAUUUCCCUCUUGACUUAGGAUAAUUUUGGGACUUGGUAUAUUUGACCUCAUUUGAUAAAAAUUGAAACACCCUGCAAAAGGCCAAUGAGCCUUUGAAAUAAAGAAAGAUGUUUGCUUGCCUUGAAACCCGAGCAAGGUCUGAGGGGCAUAUGGUGAAAGCCUUUAAAGCCUGGUGCCCUAAGCCUUAAUUGGUUGGGAGUCACCGACCUCAAUGCUCGUUACAAGGGUGAAUAGGUAGAGCUAGCAUAUGGUAGAUGCUUGGGUAUUAGAAAUUCAUUCUUAAAAGUCCAGGGAAAAAUCCGAGGAGUUAGUGGUUGAAAGAUCCUUAAAACUUGGUGCCCUAAACCUUAAUUGGUUGGGAGUCAUCGAUGGACCCCCAUUACAUGGACAAGUCAGAAAGAGUACCCCAUAAAGCUACUUUAAAAAAAAAAAAAAAAAAAAAAAAAAGAUGAUGAAAGUGUGUUCUUUUCUUAUUGAUUUUGGUCAGAUUGCUAAAGUGUUGAAAAGAGAUAGGUUGGGGGGGGAGACUAGUUUAGCAUAUUAUUCUCGGAAUCUAAGGAACCAAUACACAUAGAUUUUUGUGGAAGAUUGAAGUUUAGUUCUUAGAAAGUGAAAUGAUUUUAAAACUUCAGUUUGCAUAAUGCACUCCCUUGAUUGACAGUGUUUAGCAUAGGUGUUAUGACUCUUGUUGAGAUUUGGGUUUGUAUUUCUUUAAUGAUUCAUGUGAGAAGUAAAUCAUCAUGCCACUUAAGAAUUAUUUUCCUUUCAGCAUGAUGUUGUAAAUUUUAGAUUAGUUUGCUAUUUAUUUUUAUUUUUCUCUCCUUUAUUGCUAAGGGACUAGCAAUAUGUCGGUUGGGGGGAGUGAUUACUACUCAAAAAGUGCUAUUUGAUAGCCUUUAAUUAAUCCUUUUUAACACUUUUGAGUAGUAGUUUAGGCCUUUUAACUCAAUUGGCAUGUUAAGGAUCCUUUAAAGCAAUUUUGAUCACUUUGUGCAAGUUUUGGUGUUUUUGUUAGUAUUUCGAUCACCAAAGCAAGUCAAGAAUGAGGAGAGCUAUGAGGAAUCUUGGGCAAAGCUUAGAAUUCAAUUGCCAAGAGUGAAUCCGGAUUGCAAGGAGAAAAAGCAAAGAGGAUCAGUCAUGGAGCAUAUUCUUGAUGACAGUCGUAGCAGCCACUUUUGGAGCACUUUCUGAAGUCCAAAUGAUGCAAGCUAUAUACCAUUUCAAAGCUCAGGAAGUCAACAAUCCAAUGCUUCAAACGGUGUGCGAUUCGGAAUUGAAACGAAGAAGUUGCAGCCAUUACAAGCCAGACACUCUAAAGUGUUGCGGAAUCAGCCAUGUGUUGCGAGAAUUUCGCAGCACUUUUGUACAGUAAGGUGUUUCUCCUUCUAACGAUGCACGAACCAUGCCGCGAGAAGGGAGCUGGAAACUUCAAGAUGGAAGCCAACUUGGCAGCCUAGUGAAGAUAGCUCGGUCUUGCAAGAUAAUUUCGCAGCCCUCUUGGGUGUCUGCGAAAUUUCGCAGGCCUCAUUUUUCACCUGCGAAAUGGCUCCUGAAGCCUCCCGAAGCUUGCUACCGACAUUGGGAGAUAUUUUCCAUUAGAUUUUUGUUGUCUAAAUCCCAAAAUACUCCUUGUAAACCACCAAUUACAUGAUUCCUUAGUUUUUAAGUUAGUAAAAAGACCAAAUAUCUUUGUAACAAUUAGUUUUAUAUUUUGUUGUUAUAAAUACCUCUCGGGAGCCUGUUCUCAGGGAGGAGUUCCUUCUGUAAACGUUUGGUAAGCAAGUAAAGUCUAUUUUCUUUCUACUGCCUUACCUUCUCACUUUGUAUUUUCAUUUUAUUUCUAAGUUAUGAAUUCUCUGAGGAGUUUUCCCCAAAGAAUGAGUAACUAAACCUCCAAUUCCUUGGAGCUAAGGUUGCCGGGGAAGGUUCCAAGUGCAAGAAUGCAAAGCUCUGUGGUUUUAGCUAGUAAUGAAGAGGAAGUGAAAUCCUUUAGUGAUUUCAAUGUUUUUAGUUAACUUAAAACACUUUGGAGUCACCUGGGCCAACACUUGGUAAGGCAAGUGAUUUCCAACCAUGGAAAUGCACUAGUUUACCCCUUGCGAGCCUCUGGUAGGUGACUUCAAGGUAGGAUUUUCUGGAAUUACCAACACUUGGUAAGCUUUUGGACUCCUAGGAGACAUCCAUUAGUUAUCUCUUGCGAGUUUGUGAAGGGAAUCCAAGGUUAAAGAUCACCUUGAAUGGUAAGUGCUCGUGAGAGGCAUGAACCAUUGCAAGUUGUAUCAGUGAGAGAAUUAAAGUGAAAUCUAAUUGAAGGAGUCUUUGUACAUCACCGGUUAGAGAAUUGACUAUAAGUUGAAUCUCUAAUGCGAGGAAAUGAACCAACUGACCAGAGCCGUGUCUUUUGCAUGAGGAACCACCCCAGUGAACCUAAAUCUCCAAGGAAUGUUUUUUUCUUCCUAAAUUAUUCCAAACUUCUGUUAAGUUAGUUAGUUUAAAUCUCAACCUUUACAAAUCAAAGUUUGUGUUUUAUUCCUUAAGCUAACCGUGAAAUGAAACAAGACCAAUUCACUUGGAAUUGGUAUCAUUGAUUGCCUGCAAAUCAUUCCCAAUGAACGAUCCUAGAGCCACUAUACUAUAGUAGCUUUGUAUUUACUACCCUAGUGUAUGGUGUUAUAGGUAUAAAUUUUGUUGAUCACUUCCUCAAUCAAGGAGCACCAGCUGAACACAAAUCAGCUGAGACACCAAUUAGGCAUGAGUCAGUCAUCUCCAUUAUUGUUUUAUUUUUUCUUUCCACCACCCCAUUUUGUUGUGGGGUGUAUGGUGCAAUGAGCUGGUGAUCUAUGCCUGCAUCUUCACAAAAUUUGUUGAAUUUUUCUGAAGUAUAUUCUGUACCAUUAUUCGACCUUAUAACCUUGAUUCUGUAUUCACUUUGAUUUUCAACCAUGGCCUUAUAUCUCAAAAACACAUCAGCAACCUCAGCUUUGUAAGUGAGAAAAUAAAUCCAACAAAAUCUUGUGAAGUCAUCAAUAAAUGCAAUAUAGUACUUACUCCCUUUCAAAGAUGGUGUCUUUUGAGGUCCACUCACAUCUGUGUGAACCAAUUGUAGUUUCUGUGUUGAUUUCCAUGCUGCUUUUUGAGGAAAAGGAAGUCUUGUUUGCUUCCCAUAUUGAUAGGCUGCACAUAUAGGAAGUUCUUCUUCCAAAUCAGGGAGUCCUUCUACAAUCUAAUUCUUCUUCAUGUAGAGCACGGUAUUGUGGUGGAAAUGCCCUAAUCUUUUAUGCCAAAGCAUUGUAUUGUUCUCGUGUUGUGCAGCAGUAAUUUGCUCAUCUUCUAACAUAUUUAAGGCAAAACUUUUGCCUUUCAUUUUUAUGUUGAACACCUCUUUGCCUUCAGCAUCCUUGAUUAUGCAAUUUUUGUCUUCAAAACAAACUUUAAACCCUUUCUCAACAAGCUGUCCAACACUUAGCAAAUUUUGGUCAAUGUCAGGCACAAACAAAACAUCAGAAAUGAGCUUUAAACCUGUUAGGCUUUCAAUAGCUAAUGUUCUUUUACCUUUUACUGGAAUAUACUCACCAUUUCCUAUUCUAACUUUGGAAAUAGUUGUCCUAUCAAUCUCCCUAAAGCGAUCUUGAUCAUGUCAUGUGGUUUGUGCAACCACUGUCCACGAGCCAGCUUUCAGAGGUGCUACCGUUUGCAAAACAUGUUGCUGAAAAUAGUUGUUCCUCCUGGUAUUGUUCAGCUGCUACAUUGGUUUCUCCCUGCUGCUGCUGAGUUCUACAGAUCCUUUCUAUGUGUCCAUGUCUACCACAUUUGUUGCAUUUCACAUCUGGUCUCCACCAACAUUUUUGUUGAGGAUGAUUUGUUUUCUUGCAAUGAGGACAGGGUGGAUAGGUUCCAGUUUUUUUAUUGUUGUUGUUGCUUGGCUUAUUGUUGUUCUUUUUGUUCUUCCUCCUUCUUGUGUUACCUUCAUUGGUCUGUGUCUUUGCUUGAAAAGCUCCUUCUACAGAACUUCCUUGCCUCAUGAGUCUUCUUUGUUCCAAAGCUUGUAAAGCAUUUAGUAGUUCUGCCAAGGUGAUACUUGACAAAUCUUUUGUGUUUUCCAAAGAAGAAAUUGUAGCUUCAUAUUUUUCAGGAAUUGUGACAAAAUUGUUUUGAACAACUCUUUCAUCAGAAAACUCUUUACCUAGCAACCUCACCUUGUUUGCUAUGGUAAGAAGUUGUUCUGCAUAAUCUUUUAUGGUUUGAGACUCUUUCAUCCUCACCAUUUCAAAUUCUCGAAUUAGAUUCAUUACCUGCACAUUUCUGACUCUUUCAUUGCCUUGAUAUUCUUCCCGUAGAUGCUUCCAGAUUUCUGCAACAGAUUCAAGUUGCAUGAUUCUGGUGAGAAUUAAUGGUGAGACUACAGAAAAUAAGCAAGCCUUGGCCUUAGCCUUCCUCGUCUUUUUCUCCUUAUGGUUUUUCAUCUGUGACACAGUUGGAUUGGCUCCAAGUGGAGAAAUUUCAUAAUCUUCCUCUAUUGCUUCCCAGACAUCAAGAGCCUGUAGAUGAACAGUCAUCCUGACAGCCUAAGUUUGGUAAUUUUCUCCAUUGAAGACUAGUGGUGCUGCUGUGAAGCUUGCUUCUUCCAUUUCUGCAAGGUUUUCAGAUUCAGGUUUGGUAUACGGUGUUUAGGCUCACACACCUCACUGGUCCCUCAAGACAAAAAUUGCUCUGAUACCAAACUGUUGGAAGCAGGCGAGGUUAACACACCAAGCAACAGAGAACAGAGAUAUGCUGCUACUGAUCUAUAUUUUUUAUUUGAUCAUAAGGCUGAAUUUAUACAGAUUGUGUAACAUAUAUGACCUCAAAAAAAGCAUCAAAUCAAGCUACUUGUUGAACAAAAAACUACCUCCUACAAAAUAGCAUCAGAAUUUAACUUAAAAGCAAAAACAUAAUAAUAGCAACAGCAAAAACAGAAACAUAAAAAUAGCUUCAACAUUCUAGUAAUCUCAUUGACUUCAAUUGCAUGUGGUUGACGAUUUCAGCCUUUUCCUCAGCAGCUACUAAGGCAUAACUCUCAACAGGGCCUCUUAAUUUCCAUUCUGGCAUCUAUAUGACCUGAUAAAUAGAAAGAAAAAAAAACAGAAGAAAAGCGGCACCUGGGUUCAUAGUAAGCAUCAAGACAGGAUGCUGAAAGAAGGGAGAGAGGAGAUUGCAAGUCCAAUCCUGAUAAAAUAUCAACAAAGAGUAUUAAAUGGGGCCAACAUAAAGACCCAUUAAGGUCAGCAGAUGGCAUGGCAUUUUUCUCCUUAAGUUUUCCAUGAUUAGGCUUGAAGUCAAAAUUUCACAUGUAAAUUUGUAUUUCUACAUUUCCCACUGACGACACCCAACUUCAACUUGAGUUAGAAUAACAUUGUGUGAACUUAUCUGGCCCUCAAAAUUUACUGUGAAGUGCUUUCUGCGUGUGAAGAUUCAGAAAAGCACCAAGGGAACAUGUAUGGUCUGCCUUUUUCUGAUGUUAUGUUUGUCUCUAAUUCUGUUCCAUGUCAUGGUAAAUGUUCACAUUGCUUGUAUGGAACACACCAGGAUCACUUUUUCAGGUUUAGGGGGAUACAAAAGGCUUCAUAUUGGGUUCAAUGCUUUUAAUGUGUUCAUUGGACAAAUCUGAAUUAUCAUACGCAUUUAGAUAAGAACAAUAAUGUGAAACCCUAGUUACACCUCCCCUGCAUAACCCCAACCCUGCUUGCUCUAUUUCAGUUUACUCACAAGUUUUACUGGUUCUUAUAAGUCAAGAAAAGGCAACUGAUGUUGGAUCGACUCUCUUCCAUGUAAAAAAUGCAACUUUUAUACAUAUAAAAGAACUUCUUCCCCUCACCAAUGUGGGAUUUCAUAGAUUUAUUCUGGAAACACAUCAAAGGAACAUCUUUUCUCUUGGGUGACCCUAAGUGGUGAGUCAGAUCAUUUGCAUGCCAUUGAGUUGCACAGUUGGAUAAAUGCACCUGCCUCCUGGGCUCCAGAGUUAAAAGGGUGGAUCCCUGGAUUGCAACCCUCUUGGCAUCUUGGUUUCUAUUCCAACAUCCACAUGACUUGACAAAACAAAAAACAGAAUAAAAUCAGCACUAUAUUCAUGCUAAGCACCAAUACAUGAUGGAAAUCAUUGCUUAAAGAUUUGGGGUCGUUUUAGGUUUUGACUGCCUCCUACCACCUCACCUAAUGACAAGUUUUUAUGCUUACAAAUCAAAUAUCGUUCUUCAUUAUAUUAAAAUCAUUUUAAGAUUUCAGAUCCAUCUGCUAAUUAUGAUUAUGAUAACAUUUAUUCACCUGUGCUUCUCAUUUUCGACACACAAGGCAUCUAGGUUUGCAGGAUUUCCUUAUUAGAUGAGAUAAAUGAGUACGUAUGGUUAUGUAUCCAGCAUUCAUUAACCAUGGUAUGUGACAUUUAGAAUUAAGAUAGCAAGCAAACUUUCCCUGCAGCUAGAGUAAAUUGUGAUUUCUUAGCCUCUAUGAGUGGUUCCCAAAUCAAAUUAACAUAGUGAAAUAUACGUAGUCCAGUGAAAGGAAAUGUAAAUUAUAAACUAACAGCACUACACUACUGGUAACAAUCGAUACUCUCUAUAUAAUGCAAUAAACAAUGUCACAAUUGCCUACAAGCAAGGCACAAACACUAGAACAAGUAAAGCACAAACCUUUCCCAACAGUUCCCAGUGACUGAUGCAUAUCAUACCCUCAACUCACAGAAGGGGAUGAUAUCAGUGCACUGCAGCACUUAUUUUACACAUACUACCACUACUACUACUACUACUACUACUCAUUAGCCAAAGUCACUCAGUUGGGAUGAGUGUGAGGUAGAGGUUUGUGGGGUGCUAUGUGGAAAGGAGUUUGGCUUCUUCUCAGGAGAUGGUAGCUUCUUUGCAGGAGUUGAAGGAGGCUUAAUCUUCUGUGGUGGAUUGAUUGUAUGAGUCUUUGGCACUCUCUUCUCUAGUACAGGUGAAUACCCAGGGGUGCAUCCAUAAUGCGGUGGCUUCUAUCCCUUAGGUGGUUUGCCAAAUUCAAAAUCGAAGGAUUUUUUUUUUUUAAGUAUACGUAUCUUUGAAAGCUUUUAUUUUGUAUGGCAAAUGGAAUGAGAGGAGCAGUCAUAUUCUAUUUGGCCAGAGCAACAUAUCACAAAUGAACAAGCUAUUUACUGCCACACUGGGCAAAACAUACAUAAUCCUUGUACUUCAAACAUCCAUGAAUUCUCAUCAUUUUCAGGACACGUUGCAUGGUCUAUCAUUCUAUAUGUCGGCAUAGUAAGUGCAGCUAAUAAGCCUAUUCAGAGCUGAAAUUCAAAAUCUAUUCACAGGAUAAUGACCUUAUUAUUGGAUUUUGCUCACUGUCAUACACACAUAUCAGAUAAAGCCCCACAUGCUCAUAAGCUACAAGCAACCUACAAGCACUAAAAUGAGUGUUAGACGUAUGAAACAUUCCCCAAUACUAGUAGUAUUACCUGUUCCAUAGAACACUAAAUUAGAAGAGAGAAGAUGUGAGACUCCAGCUUUUCUUUCUACAUAUUACUCAUAUCAAGUUGGAAUAGUUAGGCGGUAGAGGCUUGGGGUGGCUUGUGUAGGGGACUAGGCAGCUUCUCUCAGGAGUUGAUUUCGUCUUAUUCUGGAUGUCCAGGUUUCGUCCUUUCGAAUUUCCCAUGCAAAUCAGCAUUCUCCUUGGGAAACUUCACUCCGUUGGGAAACUUGUGUGAAUCUUUGGCAUUCUCUACCAGAGAAGGCCCAGGGCAGUGACCAUAAGGUGGUGGCCUUUUUUCAGGUGGUGGCUCCUCUCCCACUGGAGGCUUGUGGUAAUCAGCAAGAGAGGCAGUGGAGAGAAUCAUCACCCCAAGGAACAGCACUAGCAAGUAUUUGUGAGCCAUAUUUGGGAUCUGAUGAUGAAGACUAGAAGAUAGGAGUUGCCUCAUAUAAUGGGUUGGAGACUAUAUCUCAAGGGGACGUGUAUUUAUGCAUAUGAUCUAUAUAGGACCAUCCUCCUAAUAUUUUCAAAAUAAUGUUAUUGUCUCUCUUGGGUGACAGUUUGAUUUGGUCUAUUUCCAUGCCACUGAGUAGAAAAGUUUGACAAUUGGCUACACCACCUACCUGGAUUACAUGGUUGAAAGUGAAGAUCAGUACAGUGUGAUCACACUUGACCUCUUGUUCCCCAUUCCAGUAUCUAAUUAACCUGACAAAAGUAAAAGGAAAGGAAAAAGGGAAAAAAUAGAAUAAUGUUCAAAUAAAAACGAGAAAAAAUAGCAUAAUGUUGAUGAAUCAUGAUAAGCAUCAAGGCAUGAUAGUGAGAGAGAGGAAAGAAGACAGUGUAAUUUGCAAUCCUGAUAAUCAUUAUAUAGCAGUAACUUUAAUCAUUUUUCUAUCACAGGGAACAUGACACUCAUCUUCCUAUGGAGAUAUUGCAUAAGUUUUUUUCUUUGUAUGUCAACACUAACCAAUGAAGCAUGUUAGCUGGUUUGAAACUGAAACUGUAGCCCUCUGUUUGGUUCUUGAAAAACUUGAGAGAAAAUGGAAGUAAAGUUAAAAGGAAAGAAAAAGUGAAAAAAAAUAAAAAUAGAUUGAAAGUUAACAAAUUAUUUUUACAUGUUCCCUCAAAUUUCUUUCACUUAUUUUUCCUUUUCUAUAUAAAGAUUAAAUGAUUUAAAAAUCAUAAAUUUCUAACUAAUUAUAACUAUAUUUGAUUUUCUUUCAUAUUUUCCAAGAUAAAGUCAGACAUGAGAAAAUCAUUUUCCUUAAAAAAGAAAUUCUUUCCUUUACAGUUUCUUAGAACCAAACCUGGCACAAAAGUCCAAAUUGGGGUUUCUCCAUGUUCCAUUUUUUAUGGCUACCUUUAUGGACCAUAUAAUAUAGAAUGUACUUCUGCAUACCUUCAAGAUCAAGCUGAACUAUAAGAAAAAGACAAGCCAUGGCCCACGGAGCAGGGAUACCAAGCUGCCUUCUCCUAGAUUAAGUUCCAAGAUUUCAGUCUUCAAACCUGCUAAAAGCUAAAGGCAUGUUUCCAGCCUGCGGCAGAUAACAUGCACUGUCCAACAAUAAAUUGCAAACACAUUCGAUGCAGUUUAUUAGUACAAUAAGAUUAAAUCCACCAAAUCUUUUACAGUUCAACCAACACUUGAACUAGUAGCUAGCUUCACUACUGGGUAAUAAUAUAUAAACCAAACUCUUGAUAGGAACCAACCUAUCGCAGAUCGAACUUCUUACAUCCACCAUGAAUUACUGAACCAAAAGAAGAAUCGAAGAGACUGCCAAGGAGGAAAGCCUUCCUAUAACUAGAUAUUUAUAUUCCAAAUUAGGGAGAGCACCCACUGCCCAGGCCUCGCCCAGCAUAAACAGAUAGUAUACAUAUACAUGCAAAAAGCUCCAACCUUCAAGAUUUUAACUAUUAACUUAACACAAUUAAAAAUGUAUCCAAAAAGCAAAUCCCCUUGAACUCCUGAAGCAAUUACUCCAACCAAAUAAAGAUUUUAAGAGUUCCAUGUUCAUAUCCUGCAAGGAAAUCAUUCAAUGUUCAGACCUCUAAUUUCUGUCUUUCUAAAUGCCCAGCCAAAAGGCAUAAAGUAUCAUCCAAAUUGGAUGCACAGCAUAUGUUCUUAAAUCAUGGGAUUUCACCAUAAGUUACUACACUCUAACAGGGCCCAGAAAUUGACCUCCAGAUAUGCCUAUCAAAAAAUUAUCCCCACAUACAUUUUUCUGCUGAAAAGACAAUAUUGUUACAUUUGACAUUCAACCACUACUUGAACUCAACAACCAGGGAAAAGAAUAUAGUAUUUCUACCAAUGAGGAUGAGAGGGGCUGGUGAAUUAACAGGUAAAAGUUUGUUUUGGGUUCAUUGUUUGCAUAAUAAUGUAAAAAUGGAGUAGUAUAUUAUAAAUUAAUGUAAAAAUGGAUUAGCAUAACAUAAAUUGCCAUAAGAGAACCACAAACUACAAAGAAACUUAUUUUCCAAACAAGGAAAAUUAUUCAUAGCCAUUAUUACAUAAGAAAGGAAAUUGAUAAAAUUAUUAUCCAGUUCCCCAUCAGGAAAUAUGAAAGUACUCCUAAAAGCCUCAAUUCUAACCAGAAAACCAUAGAAAUGUAUUAGAAAUAUUGUACAGGGUUCUCUCCAAUAUUAGCUUCAGUUGCUAAGGAGAUCAGAACCUUGAAAGUAAGUCACAAAGGUCGUGUGGGUUUCCCAGAGUCUUCAACAACCAGUAUUCACAUAUGUACACAUUAAAAUUAAAUAAAGCAGGUAUCAAUUCCACAGGCUUUAAGAUUUGAAUUGCUUCUCCCUGGAAUCAUACACCACUCAUAUUGUCACUGACUUUCAAUUACUUCUCCCUGCGAUCAUAUGCCACUCAUAUUGUCACUGCCUUAGGGAACAAAGUGAAAAUCUGCAAUUUCAAUUAAUUCCAACAUAAAAAUAAAAAUCAAUCCUCAAAAAAUGGAUUGCCAGGAGGUAAAUAUAAUAGAAGACGAACAACUCUCACAACCAAGUUAAAGAAACCAGCCGCUAGGUACCUUUGAGUUCUAUACUACCAGGAACAAAUUGGAUGAGAUUAUUUAAAGGCUAUUCCACAGUGGAAAUUCAUUCGUUCAAAAAACAUUUGUCAUGCAUAUAGGCAAUCUAUCCUAUGCAUUCAUACAUCAUGGUCUCAUGCAAUCUUAAUAAAAGUGGUCCUGGAAAAAGAGAGAAAAAAGUAAUUACAAGCCUGUGCGACCAGAUUUCUUUUGUUUUUUUUUUUUUUUUCCUUUGCCAAACAACCAUGUUCAUAGUUUCAGAAGUUCAUUCUGUCUUUAAGAGACCAUGGCAGUGACUUGGCCAUUCAGCUAAGANNNNNNNNNNNNNNNNNNNNNNNNNNNNNNNNNNNNNNNNNNNNNNNNNNNNNNNNNNNNNNNNNNNNNNNNNNNNNNNNNNNNNNNNNNNNNNNNNNNNUCACCAAGGACUCCUCAACCUCAAAAUAAUAGAGAAAGUCUAGGACACCAUGUCACUACUGAGGACAACCCAACACCACAACAUUUCAGUCCGUUCAAAAAGAGUAAUUGGAAUUGUUGCAAAAAAUGUUCAACUAGUCCCAACAGGAGGCAAAUUCCUCCAUUUCUUCAUCGGGUCCGGAUCCUUUGCUCAAAAAGGUAAUUUUCUUACUGCCCUAAAAGAAAAAGGGAAAAUGUGAGUCAUUGGAUUGUUGACUCAGGAGCUUUUGAUCACAUGACUAGAGUGCCACAAUUUUUCAAAAUUAUACACCUUGUUUUGGGGAUGAUACAAUUCGUAUGGCUGAUGGUUCUCUCUCAAAGGUGACUGGUACAAGUUUUAUUGUCAUCUCUAAGGACCUAACUCUUGACUCUAUUCUUUUGGUUCCAAACUUGGAUUGCAAUCUAUUGUCCAUUAGUAAACUCACUUAUGAAAAGAACUAUGUUACUAAAUUUUUCCCAAACCAUUGUGUUUUUUAGAAUUUGAAUUCGGGGAAGACGAUUGGCAAUGUUGAAGUGUGUUUAGGACUCUAUGCCUUCAAAGUGAAUUAUUAUAUUGAAAGACAAUCUUAACCAACAGUUGGUGAAAAAUGGUGUCUUUUUGUCUUUAGUUCUAAUAAAGAUAGUGAUGUUAUGUUAUAGCACUAUUGUCUAGGACAUCCUAGUUUCUUAUAUCUCAAAAAACUCUUUCCAUGGUUUUCAGUGUGAAAUUUGUCAACUAUCCAAGCAUCUUUGCAAGCCCUAUCCAUAGUUUUAAAAGACUUAAGGCACACCAAGACGCAAAGUCCUCUUGGAGCCUUAGGCGCAAGGCACACCUAAGGCGCGAACUUUAGUAAAGUGAGGUGCAUCCUGUUUUACAUAUAUAUUUUUAUAUAAUACAAUCAAGUGCCCGAAAAUUUUCCUCUAAUUUUCCCCUUCUUCUUCAUCCUCUUCUCUUCUUCACAUUGUUCGGGAGGCUAGGACAUUUUUUUUUUUUUACAUGUCUAAAACAAGCAUAUAUUGGGUUUUGGAAGAAGAACAAGCCAAAAUGACAUCGUUUUGGAGCCUAAUCUUUUAAAUAAAUAAAUAAAUAAAUAAAAACCAGCCAAAAAUGACACCGUUUUGGCCCCUGUUCUUUUAAAAGAACAAACCAAACAACGUCAUUUUGAUCUCAGGAAAUUAAAAAAACAAAACCCUCGUCAUUCUCCCUUUGCUACUCUACAACUCAUCGUCAAAGGGUAAAAAGAUGACCAAAAGAAGAAGAAGAAAAAAAAAAAACGACGACAGAGGAUAGAGGUGCACCUGUUGAGGGCGUUGCGCCUAGCCAAGAGGCGAGCGCCUUGCACACUUAAUCAACGCCUCUGUGAAGGGGCGGCUCCUGCAAUCAGGCGAAGCGCUGAAGGGUGAUGUCACAUCGUCUAGAGCCUAGGCGCACCUUUCACAACUAUGACCCUAUCCAACUCAACCAUACAAACCAUCUCAUCUUUUUUCCAUACAUAGUGAUGUUUGGAGGUCAUCUAAAAUAAAGAACAUAACAGGGACUAGAUGGUUGAUGAUCAUACUAGAAUUUCUUAGAUAUUUCUAAUGAAAAAAAAAUCAAAAAUUAGUCAAAUUUUCUAAAAGUGGACCAGAAUUUCUUUAUUGAAUUAAAAAGUUGAAAUUAAUAUUUUGGAAAAGUUAGGGCCGCUCAAGAGGUAGAAAUAGCGCUCGAGUGGUAGAAAUAGCGCUCGAGUGGUAGAAAUAGCCCUCAAGUGGUAGAAAUAGCGCUCAAGCGCUAGGACCGCUCAAGCACUUAACUAGCGCUUGAGCGCUCAUAUAGAAUCUGCCAGAAUAUGGAAGAAUAUUUUUUGGAUAAUCAUGAAAAUUGGAUUUGGAAACUUUAGAAUAUCAAUCUCCUUCGGCCUAGAGGUUUAUAUAAACCCUAUUAUAACCCUUUAGGGUUAAGAAAUUCACCAAGUGGUUUACCCUAACUUGUCAUACCAUUCCCGAUCUCUCAUCAAGGAAUCAAAGUGUUUAAUCUUGGGUUGUUUGAAGACCUGCAUCCCUUCAACAAGGCUAAGGUGUAUUCACUAGAACAAUUGAAAUUGUUGCAUUGCGGACAUGAAUCAAGUUGCAGGUUCUAGAGAGUAAGUCUUUAGAAUAAAGCAGACAAAGAGUUCUAUGUGACUUUAUCUCAUAUAGUGGAUUUAGCUUUGAGGUCUUAGACCUCGUGGGUUUUUAUCUCCAUAGUUAGUGUGGGGGUUUUCCACAUAAAAAUUAUUGUGUCUCUUGAUCUUAUGUUUGAUUUUAGAUAUUCUAUUUAUCCCUGAUAUCUCACAGGUUAACUUUAGGUUAAAAAUUCAACUCCCUAUUUAAUAAUUUUUAAAAUACACCCAUUCACGAGUGUUAUCCUACUGGACAUUGGUUUUUCACCAUAUAUAACACUCAUACCAAAACCCAUGCAACAUGGACUCCAACCUUAAGCUUAACUUUCUACGAAUGGAAAAAAAAAAAGACAUAACAUAAAUAGACAGAUUUAACAACAUGCUCCUAAUCAAGGUGAAUGUCCCUCUUUUUGAAAGAUAUGACCUUUUCCAUACGAGGAGCUUUCUUUAAAAUUUCACCUCUACCAAUUCCCAUGCCUUUACAAAGUUGUGGAAAGCUCCAAAGAGAAGGCCCAGACAUGUAAUGGGUAGAUUCCCUACCUUAGAACCUUACACCAAAGCUAAACCCCUAAUAUUUGUGACUUCUAUAAGAAUCAAUUCAUUUUUUUCCAUAUUUAUUUCUAAAUCAGACAUUGCCUCAAACCACAUGAAGUUAUAACUUGGAUGUUACAGAUGCUCUUAAUUAGUGUCACAAAAAAAUAGGGUAUCAUCAUCAAACAAGAAAUGUGACACUUCCAUCCCCUCCUCCUGUCUUCCUCCCACUUUGAAACUUGAGAUGUAACCCCUUUUAUCUAAUUCUCCUCAAAAUUCAAUUGAAAGCCUUCAUUGCCAAUAUGAAAAUGUAAGGGGAGAGAGGAUCUUUCUACCUCAAAUCCCUUGAGCUCUCAAAGAAACUGAAUAGGACACUAUUUACUAGAAUAGAGAAUUGAGUAGUGGAAAUGAACCAUUUGAUCCACCUCACCCACUUAUGAUCAAAGUCCAUUUUAUCCAACAUCAUUAACAAAAAGUUCCAAUUUACAUGGCCAUCGUCCUUUCCAAUGUCUAACUUGCAAAUUACCCCACUAUUGGGACUCUUUAACCUUGAAUCUAGAGCAUCAUUUAUGAUUAGAACUGCAUCUAGAAAUUGUCUGUCUUCCACAAAAGCAUGCAAAUAAACUAAAACUAUUUUACCCACCACAUUUUUUAGUCUUUUAGCCAAGACUUUUUCCAAUAGCUUGUACAAAAAAACCCCCAACUAAGCUAAUCAAUGUAAAAAAUUUUAGGUUCUCUGCUGCACCUAUAUUAGGGAUCAAGACCAAGAACAUGACAUUUAAAUUUUGCUCAAAGGAACAAUUAUCAAAAAACUCCCCAAGCUCAUUUGCCAAAAUAUUAUAAUAAAUCCAUUUGGCCCCUACAGCUUUAUCCCCACUCAAGCUAGACAAGGCAACAAGAAAUUCCUCAUCAAAGAAAGGUAACUCCAAUUUCCUAGAAUCAGCACAUAGCAUAACUUCAAAGGUCAUCCCAUUAAUGUUGAGUCUCCACUCGCCCAUAUCAGAUAGGAGAUUUUGGAAGGCCCUAAACUCCCCUUCCUUUAUAUUUGCUUCCCAAGCAACCAUUUUGCAUUCACUCAAAUUUUAAACAUGAAGUUUUUUAUUCUUUGGGCAUUGACCAUUUCAUGGAAAAUUUUGGUGUUUUUAUCCACCCCCUCUUUUAACCAAAUUUCUCUUUAUUUUUGCCCCCAUACAUAUAGAUUCUUCUAACAAGGCCCACUUGCUAAACUCAAUCACCACUAACCUUUGGCCUCAACGAUUUCAAGAGAUAAGGUAACUGCUCUCUACUUUGAGUCCCAGAAGUUGAUCCAGUUUAGCACCUCUAGGUUUUUUGUUGAGACAUUCCCAAAACCUUCUUCAUUCCAAGAUUUUAAAUCUCGUUUGACAGCCUUUAGUUUAACUUCCAAAAUAUGACCAUACAAGCCAUCCACAUUAUAACCAUCAACCAACUCCUCACAAAAUCUUUUAAGCCUUUUGUUUUAGGCUACAUAUUUUAAAAUGUAAACUGUGUUUUCCCACUCCUUAUCCUACCUCCAUCUAAAACUAUGGGGUAAUGACCAAAAAUUGGUUUAGGUAAAAUACUCUAGAUUAAAGUAGAAAAACGAUUCUACCAAUCAUCUGACACUAGGAAAUGGCCAAGCUAGCCUUGAAGAAGACAAAAGAUUAUGAACACCACUCCAAGUGAAUAGCCCUCCAACUAGCGAAAGAUCCCAAGGUCAAGUCCUCUAUGUCCUCUGAAAAGAACCUCAUAUCAAACAACAUUCUAAGGCAAUUCCUCCUUUUCAUGGGGAACUUGACCAUAUUAAAAUCCCCUCUGAAGCACUAGAGGUCAUCCCAAAGGCCUCUUAUGGCACCCAACUCUACCCAGAAAUCCACUCUUUCUCCCCUUUAAACCAACCCAUAAACUCUUACGUAUACCUAGACAAAGCUAUCUUCACAAUUCAUAGACAAGCAAUAGAGAAUGCUUCCACCUCCUUACCAAUUAACUCUAAUACCCUACUAUCUUGGAAAACCAAAAUGCCUACUAUCAAGCUUCUAACUUCCAAUACCAUUUCAAAAAUUUUCCUACUCCUAAACUCCUUACCAGUUGAACGAACAUCUAUCGAACCUUGGUUUCUUGUUAACAAACUAGAUCAACCCCUUGAGACCUUAUCAAUGACUUUAUUAUCAUAUACUUUUCCUCAUCAUUUGCUCAUUUGACAUUCCAAGACAGGAUUUUUAGCUUCAUCAUGCAACCUAUGUUGGAUCCUAACUGCUACUCUUGGAGCCCUUUUCCUUUUUGUUGAGCUUUUAUAAUUGACUAAGCAUCCCAACUUGUUGAGGUCCCUCUCAAACCAAGAUAUCGAGGUUAACUUCCUCUUCACCUCCAACGAAAAAACAGAAACCCCUCUCCUUAGCCUGCCACACAAGGGAAAAGAUCUCUUUUUCAAAUCCAUCAACUGGCAUUCUUGAGAAACUAUUGAAAUUUGCCAACUUACAAGAUAUACAAUUGGAGGAGUGCUUCUCUACCAAACAACUACUAAAAUUCACCUCAAAGGUGACCUUUUCCCCUGAUCUCUCCCCGGCCUCCAUACCCACUGACCCUUUCACAAAAUUUUCUAGAAUUUCCACUAUCAAGCCGUUACGGAGAACCAUCCUCAACAAACUCCUUUGACUAAUGUGAAAAACCCCACCCAAGAGCAUCUUCCAGAAGUUAACUUACAAGAUUAACUAUAAUCUUGUGAAGACUCGUUACCUAAUGGGUAAAAAAUUUGAAAUUCUAUUAGUAUAAUUCUUUUUAGGCACAAAAGCUGUGAAAAUAGCAUUGGUGCUCUAAUUAAUAACCCCAUAAUUAUUAAGCAAUAAAACAACUUUUAAUAAAUUCUCUUUCACCACAUCCCACCAAUCCUAAUGCAAAAAAGCUAGGAAAAAGUCAUCAUUGCUCUAAGCAUUUCUCCUCACUAGUUGAAAGACUGCUUUAUGAACUUCCUCUUCGACAAAAGGACAAUCCAACCAAUUAGCACCAUUUUCCAAAAUGAGAGACCAACCCCCACUCUUCUAUCCUCUAAGGAUCUUCAUAUAACCAUUAAUGCCUUUCUAUACCAGCUAGUAUAUAUCGGGUUUUGGGCAAGUCCUAUAAAUUGGUUUGAGUAAGAUUUUUAAUUACCCUGUUCUUUCUUUUUAGUUGAUAAAUAUGCAUAUAUGUAGUAAUUCAUACAUCAGAAAAGAUUUUGCUAAAACAAAAGAAUUGACAUGCAGAUAGUGACUUCUUGAUAAGAGUAAUAGCUUAAGGGAGGAAAAUGAACUCCUCCAGUGGCCCCAAAGUGGUAAGUUCCUUCAGAUCCCAUGUUGCUAUUCUGCAUUUCUUUGUGUUUUGGCAUCAGCCCUCUUAAUUAAUUCACUAUCCAGCUUCUCAAAUUCCUCGGAUUCUUCCCUUGUUCUUGUGGAAACAUCUGCAUCUUGUCCUUGCAUUGUUAUGGAUUGGUGAUUAUCAUUCUUUGAGAACUGUGUGGCAGCUGCUCGUGCACCAGCUAUGGCUGCAAGGAGACCUUCUGGUUUCUUGUCUUCAGCAGCUUUGGAGCCAUCAAAGCAAGAAACAAGUAAUCCUGGUUUCAAAGAGAGGGGAUCUUGUGGUUCUGGAAGCAGAAACUUGACAGGUAGUGGAGCUUGAACAGGACGAAGACCCCUAACUGCUGCCUCAUAUAUCUGCAACAAUUUCAGGGGGGAUAAGUAAUUAAAAAUCAGUCACUCUAUUGCAUUAGUUAGACUUGCUUUCAAUGCGAUAGCAAAGAAAGAAUCAUCAAUGAAAAAAGAAAAAAUAAAUGAAAAAGAACAAAAAGGAGAGGGAAAAAAAAAUGAUGGGUGCUCAAUUUGUACUUUUCUUUCCAGGUUAUAAAUACGUUGGUACCCGCGCAUCUCAAAUGGUAUGAUUAAUUUCUGCAUCAGGUCAGGAGAACUAAGUCCAUCAAUAUACUAAAAAGCAAAUAUACCAAAAGGCAAGCAAAAAUGUUUAACCAUCUUGAGUGUCAAACUCUCCAAGAAACUAUAUACUUUUAGCUGAAUGAAAACACAUGCCUGUGGUUGCUCACAGAGCCAGCAAAACUCUGUUUGCGCUUCUAGCCUUACCUACAAAUAGAGUUUAGGUUAUCCAACCAAAAUGGAGAUACAUCACACAAAACAAACUGUACCUAAUCAGUUUACGAAGGGGACGGGGGGAAGCAAAAAGCAAAAGUAAAUUUCUAAGAUGCCCACCCCUUCAGGUACCUCCUUCCAGCACGCCAGCUCUUCACAUUUAACACAACCAACUACUUCAAUACAACCUGUGGCAAGAAUAGAGUUUGUUGGAUUUAUUGUAGCAUGCCAUACAGAAAAAUUUAGCAUUUCAGUAAGAAUAAGAAUAAGAGAGCUACUUUCCACUAAAAUACGAAUCACCCAUCAACUGUUGCAAACAGACAACAAUGUGAAUAACAGGUUUUAUAUAUAUAUAUAUAGAGAGAGAGAGAGAGAGAGAGAGAGAGAGAGAUAGAUAGAUAUAGAGAGAGAGAGAGAGUCAAAUAAUAAUAAAGGACAAAAAUAUUUCUUUGAGAAAGACUAAUUAGAAAGAAGAAACAAAGAACCCACAUGAAAUCAAUUUAGAUAAGAGAAAUACCUUUAAGAAUCUAGUUCUUUUUGCAAAUUGCAACUUAGAAUUGGAAUGCCACAUAUUAUUAUAAGGUAUCACAAGAGAUUAUUGCUUCAUUUUUUUUCUUUGCCAGAUCAGUUUUAAUAAAUAUAAAUAUAAAAAUAUAAGCAUGUACACACACACACGCAAACACAUUAUGUGUGUAUGUUUAUGGAUAUGUAGAUAUAGGUUUUUAAUAAUAGAGCAUGAAAACAUAUCUAGUCAGAAAUUCCAAAAAUCCAAAACCAUUAGCAACACCUAACAGUCUUGAAACUGGGUAAUGUUCUGGAAACUUGAGGUCUGCUAUCCCAUUCACAGCAUAGAUCUCCCUGUAGAAAUUCUCCAUUGCUUUGAUUGUGUCUGAAUCUGGGACCUUACUAGCAGCAUGAAUCCAGAGUCGGCCUUCAUAAAACAAAACAUGUAUAUUAAGAAAUAUCCUUGUAGAACAGUAACAUUUUUGCCAGCAUGCAAUUCGUGUUAAUAAUCCUUGGUUCUCACCACUCAUUGUACAUUACAAUGUAAAGACCUAAUAAGCCCUAAUAUAGGUAGGUGUCUGUGCAGAGAGAGAGAGAGAGAGAGGGGAGGGGGGUGAAAGGAAAGAUGAUUAUAGAACAAAUACAAGUUGAAUCUCCUGAAAUAAUGUCCAUCAAGUUAUUUCCUAGCAACAAGUACUGAUUAUGCUUUUCCUGAUAACAUGAUUUUCUUUGCUAACAACCAUACUAUAUUUUAUCAAGAAAGAGUAGUGCAUGUGGCGUGCAUCAAGACCCAUUAGAGUUCCGCUAAACCUAUAGUUCUGUCAACGUUAUCAUUUACGUUUCCUCUAGAUAAUGGCAUUUUCCUCUAAAACUCUUGCACCAUUAGGCUUCAAGUCAAAAUUUCACAUGUGAACUUUGGAAAUUUUCUCCAUUUGCCCCUAAGGAUACAGUUAGAAUUGACUUAAAAUCCUGAUUGAUGUAUACUUUUAACCGAAGAAUAUUGUAUAUAAUAAUUGAAAUAUUGUUGAUUCAUCGUGGAAAUACAUUUUGUAAGGAAAGUUGUUAAGAAUUUAGUAUGCUAUAUGGAGAAAAAAGUCAUGACUUAAGGUUGAGUAUGUAUAUUCUAUAUCAAAUAUUAGGUAGGAAUGUGGAAAAGAGCAGAGUGUAAUUAUAAGAAACAAAGAAAUAUAAGAUAUUCUUGAAAGUGGAAAAUGUAAAAUGGCUAAAAGUCAAAUUUAUGAUGCAUAAGGGGGAUCAUGUCACAUAAGAAACUCAUGGCAUACCAAAUACGUGUGGUAUGGAGUAACAAUUUUGUUAAAAUAAGUUUCUCGUUGGAGUACAUUAGGUGACAAUUUUUUAAUAUCAAAUUAAAGAGUCAAGUGCAUCAAUGAAGUCAUAUGUAGAAAAUUUGUUUGUGACAUGUACCAUAAAGAUAAGAUUGACUUGAUAUAAUUUAGUCCAGGUAGGAGUUGUUAAAGGUGUCUCAAAUUUCUAAUUGAUAUAUAUUUUUUUCUAAAAAAAUAUUAUAUAGAUAUUUCAAUAAAUGAUUAAUUCUUUGUAAAAAUACUUACAUAAUAAAAAACAUCAUUAGAAAUAUCUCUAUAAAUAUUUUAAAUCACAAAAAGAAAAAAAAAAUCACUAUGAGAUAAUUAUAAACAUGCAACAUUGUACCAAGUAAACAGAAAUGUGAUAAAAAAAUUUUGAGAAACACUAAAUAAAGGAAGGGCUUGUAUAUCAAGAUGUAAAUAUAGAGAGCAAUAUUUUUAAUCAUAUGAUAGAAUUAUUUUCUCUCAUUCAUGAUUAUAAGCAAAAUUGGGAACCAUUAUAAAAUCUUGUACACCUCGUGUAAAUUGAUGUUUGUCUUCAUAUUUUACACCAACAAAUGACAUUGAAGUUGUCAUUGAUAAAAGGGAAAAGGCAUGGCCUCCACACCAUGUGCUUGAAUCGUAUGGUUCAAGUUUAAAGAAUUUUCUCCAUAAUUUGAAGAUCUAAAACAUUUUCACCUUUAAAUUUCAUUUAAUUAUUAAUAUCUACAAAAAAUAGUUAAAUACUCUUUCUAUUUUUGAGUUGUUGAAUUUUUUGAAAGUUUUUAUAUUUGUUAUCAAGAAUUUAUAUUUUAUUAAGUGUGAAUAUUUAUAAAUAAGAUAUUAUAUAAUAUUUGGAUAAGAGAGAAUGGUGGAAUAUAAUAAAGUUUUAAUCCUUCCCAAUUUUUAUCUUUUUUUUUUUUUUUUUUUAUAAUCGCCUUUCUCUUUCAAUCCUAUUAUCAGGUACCUUAUAUUUGCUGAUGCUAUCUGGAACUAAAUUCCAAUCAGACAUUGUCCAAUUACUAAUAGGACAGAUCAUGUCUCUCUGUUUCUAAACUAACAUGUAUCGUAAUGUGGCCUCAUAAGGAAGGCUAGGAAGAUGGAGGAUUUUGUGGGAAGCGACCAGAAUCAGAUGGAAGAGAGAUAGCCCUGUUGACCUAAUGGCUGUAAUAGGAGAAGCGUGUGGAUUUAUGGGACUUAACUGAUACUAAACCUAUAUGAUGCUUGGAGUGGUGUUUCUUUCAUUUUGUUAAGAAAAUAUGGCAGCAUACAUCCUUUCAAUUGAGUGCAUCAGAGCAUCCAUAAUAGAUGGUCUGCAACCCUAGGUGCAUGCCACUUUCUGACUGAUAAUGAAACUGUCAGGUACUUGGCCUUGACUAAGCUCAACAGCAUCACAUAAAAAGAAGCUUUCAUACUUAGAUUACUGUUUAAAGCUUUUGCUUAUUUGCUUUCUUAAUGCCAUUAUGACAUUAUUGUUUCAAUUCUGCUACCGAUUUUCGAAGUUCUGGGCAUCUACUGAUUGCAUCAUUAUAUGAGAAGUUGCAUGAGUUUAUGUAUCCUGUUAUUGCUCCUUUGCGAUUUCACUGCUCACGGGACUAACCUCUCCAUUCAGUCGAAAUGAAUUGUAAUUUCUUUACUGGUAGCAGUAGUACUUUUCAUAGCAAAGAUAAUAGUAAAUAUGAAAUAUAAAUAGAAGGAAAUCUGAAUUGUAGAUGGCACUAUAAGUAACACUCAAUAUUCACUACAUAAUAAAAUAGACAGUGUUACAAAGGUAGAGAAACCUACAAUGAGUACUCAUCACCAUUCUCAAACAGAAACAUAGCAGCGACUUAUACAUAGAACCUAUAGGCUUGCAGGGAAAGAAGGGAAAGAGUAACAUGAUAAGUUCACAGCGGGUAGCAGCUCUUAUUUUACGUAUUACUCAAAAUCUCAAACUAACCAAAGUCACUCAGUUGGGAUGGGUAGGAGAUGGUGGUUUGUGGGGUGGCUUCUGGGUAGGAGCUGGUGGCUUCUUUGUUGGAGUUGAAGGAGGCGUAAUCUUCUGAGGUGGCUUGUAUGAGUCUUCGGCACUCUCUGCAGGAGGGUGCCCAGGGUUGUGACCGGAAGGAGGUGGCUUCUGUCCCUUUGGUGGUUUGCCUAAUGGGCUUGGUGGCUUGUGCUCCGGGAGUUGUUUCUCUCCCUCGAGUAGGUUUCGAGUUUUGUCAGAUGGCUUGUGUUCUGGUGGUGGCUUCUCUCCCUGGGGUGGUUUGCCGAAUGGGCUUGGUGGCUUGUGUUCGGGGAGUGGCUUCUCUCCCUGGAGAAGGUUACGAGUUUUGUCAGAUGGCUUUUGUUCUGGUGGUGGCUUCUCUCCCUGGGGUGGUUUGCCAAAUGGGCUUGGUGGCUUGUGUUCGGGAACUGGCUUCUCUCCCUUGGGAGGUUCAUUUGGUGGCUGGUGUUCCGUAGGUGGUUCCUUCACCGGCGGCUUGUGCUCCGGAAGCGGCUUCUCUACCUGGAGAAGCUUACGAGUUUUGUCAGAUGGCUUGUGUUGUGGUGGGGGCUUCUCUCCCUGGGGUGGUUUGCCAAACGGACUUGGUGGCUUGUGUUCGGGGAGUGGCUUCUCUCCAUUGGGAGGUUUAAUUGGUGGUUGGUGUUCCGUAGGUGGUUUCUGAAGUGGGGGAUGCUUGGGGUAGUCAGCAAGAGACGAGGUAGUGAGAACCACCAGUCCCAGCAGCAACACUAGCAAGGAUGUGGAAGACAUCUUUGAGUUCAGGCUGAGAUCUGUGCAAGGAUAAAAGAUUUAGGUGGCCUUUUAUAGAGGGAUGGACCCAACACCCAUAUGACACGUGUCAUGCACUCAUGGUGACACAUAAAUUCUAUGGAACCAUUUGGGUCCUACAGAAGUUGCAAAGUUGGACUAUUGAGGUGUGAUCACAACUUUUGUCCUUCUUGCUUUCUCUGCGGCCAUUGCCCAAUUUCCUUUAGCAUCAUUUUCUUGGCUAAAUAAGCGUAUUAUAUUUGUGGCAGACCGUCCACGUGUCAUAGACAGAUAUAUUAUAAUAAUGUAGUAUGCUUUUCUUCAACGGAACAUGACACUCUUCUAAGUCUUGUUUUAAAUACUGUGCAGUAUUACGUUAUACGUUGCUUGUUCCAAGUCAAAAUUGGUGGGCAAACGUUGGCCUUUUUUCAUUUUCCCUAAGAUUAAUGCUCACCUGGGAUAGGCACUACAUGAUAUAUCUGCUCUUUUACUGUGAAGUUGCUUUGUGCAUGAGUUACACCUCCCCUGCACACCCUCAACAUUUGUUGCUCUGUUUUCCUUGUGUCCAGACGAGGAUAUUAAUUGGAGGCUGACAAAACGACUGCUAGCCAAGGAUUUACAAGGUCCUGGUUUGACGCUUCCGCGAAAGUAUUUUUGAAAAGAUACACAUAGAGAUUGCGCGUUCGGUGCAAUGCAACAAUGUGAGCCAUUCUGAAGUUUUUAAUUUCAGAUUAAUGAAUGCUACAAAAUUCUAAGAAGGGCCGUUUCCAAAUAUUUGAGUUCAUUUAUCCGAACAUCGGAUAAGUAAUGAUCAUAGAUUAUUAUCUGACGUUCUUAUAAUGGUUGGCAUUAUAAGAGGGUAUAUGCUUCUUUCUCUAGCCCCUCCUUCAAGGGAGGGACAAUGUGAUCUGUAUCGUUAGAAGCUAUUCCAUGUCAUCAUCUUUGGGCUUAAGUCAAUACUAAAAUAUAUGGGCGGGGCCCCUGUCAUUUUAUAUUUCUUCUAGAAGGUUUGUUCUGGAAAUCUUUCACCGAAACAUAUCUUUUUCUUCUCUACGUGAUCCGGUUUGAAAGUUGGAAAAAUGGGUCCGUUAACAAGACACCGAGUUGAAAAGUUGGAAAAAUGGCAACACCGCCAACCUCUUGUAUUCGAUGGUUAAAUAAAAGGUCACUGGAAGUGAGAUCCCUUUUGGCCUCUUGAUUUUCAUUCCAGCAUCUCUAUGGCCUGAUAAACUAAAAAACUAAAAAAAAGACAGUACGUGGGUUGGUGUUAAGCAUCAAGAGUCAAGACAUGAUAAUGGAGAGAAAGGAUAUUCAAAUUCCAGUUCUGACAGCAUGAUUUUCUUUGCUGAACAACCAUAUUAUAUUUGAUCAAGAAAGAGUAGUGCAUGUGGCCAGGAUCAAGACAUACAUUAAUUUCCACAUGAUCAAGACAGUUUCUUCUAAAGCUCUUGCGCCAGUAGGCUUCAAGUCAAAAUUUCCCAUGUAAACACUGGUUUUUCUUUAAUUGCCACUAAGGAUGCAGUUAAAAUUGACUUAAAAUCCUACGUGAUAUAUUUUUUUAACAAAAGUAUAUUGUAUAUAAUAUUUGAAAUAAUGUUGAUUCGUUGUGGAAAUAUGUUUGUAAGGAAAGUUGUUGACAAUUUAAUAUAGUAUAAGAAGAAAAAAGCUAUCAGCUAGAGAUGAGUAUGUAAAGUGAGGCUCCCGAUUCAACGCGUAAAUAUAAGAUAUUUUAAGGCUCAAUAGUUAUGAUAUCUAUUUUAUUUUUUGUAUCUCAUAUAUUCAAAGAUAUAGUAAAAUGAUUUUAUAUAUAUAAACAUAGCUGAUUGUAUCAUGUUAAAACCUGGUAUGACUUUUUGUGCCAAUUGAUUUUUAUCUUUAUUUUGUAUAUUAGUAAUUAGUAUUAAAGUUUUUACUAAUAUAAUAACUAAUAUAAAAACUUUUUCUAAAAGAGUCAACAGAGCAAAACAUUUAUUGUAAAAAAAAAAUUAAAAUAUUAUUUUUUCUAUUUAGAAAAAGUUAUAUAUUUUAUUUUUUCUAUUUAGUAAAAAGUUUAUAAUAAGUCAUAAAAAAAAGUAGAAAAACAAACCACCUAAAUUCUGAAAACAAAUUAUUUUCAAUAAAAAGUCAAAAAAAUAAACACUAUCUUAACUAAACAAGCAUAUAUUAUAUUUGGUUAAAGAGUAGAGUGUAUAUGGCACACAUCAAGGAAGAGAAACAAAAUAAGUGGAAGACAAUCAAGGGAACAUGUAUGGUCUGCCUUUUUCUGAUGUUAUGUUUGUCUCUAAUUCUGUUCCAUGUCAUGGUAAAUGUUCACAUUGCUUGUAUGGAACAAAGGCUUCAUAUUGGGUUCAAUGCUUUUAAUGUGUUCAUUGGACAAAUCUGAAUUAUCAUACGCAUUUAGAUAAGAACAAUAAUGUGAAACCCUAGUUACACCUCCCCUGCAUAACCCCAACCCUGCUUGCUCUAUUUCAGUUUAUUCACACAAGUUUUACUGGUUCUUAUAAGUCAAGAAAAAGCCACUGAUGUUGGAUCGACUCUCUUCCAUGUAAAAAAAAGCAACUUUUAUAAAUAUAAAAGAACUUCUUCCCCUCACGAAUGUGGGAUAUCAUAGAUUUAUUCUGGAAACACAUCAAAGGAACAUCUUUUCUCUUGGGUGACCCUAAGUGGUGGGUCAGACCAUUUGCAUGCCAUUGAGUUGCACAGUUGGAUAAAUGCACCUACCUCCUGGGCUCCAGAGUAAAAGGGUGGAUCCCUGGAUUGCAACCCUCCUGGCAUCUUGGUUUCUAUUCCAACAUCCACAUGACUUGACAAAACAAAAAACAGAAUAAAAUCAGCACUAUAUUCAUGCUAAGCACCAAUACAUGAUGGAAAUCAUUGCUUAAAGAUUUGGGGUCGUUUAGGUUUUGACUGCCUCCUACCACCUCACCUAAUGACAAGUUUUUAUGCUUACAAAUCAAAUAUCAUUCUUCAUUAUAUUAAAAUCAUUUUAAGAUUUCAGAUCCAUCUGCUAAUUAUGAUUAUGAUAACAUUAAUUCACCUGUGCUUCUCAUUUUCGACACACAAGGCAUCUAGGUUUGCAGGAUUUCCUUAUUAGAUGAGAUAAAUGAGUACGCAUGGUUAUGUAUGCAGCAUUCAUUAACCAUGGUAUGUGACAUUUAGAAUUAAGAUAGCAAGCAAACUUUCCCUGCAGCUUGAGUAAAUUGUGAUUUCUUAGCCUCUAUGAGUGGUUCCCAAAUCAAAUUAACAUAGUGAAAUAUACGUAGUCCAGUGAAAGGAAAUGUAAAUUAUAAACUAACAGCACUACACUACUGGUAACACUCGAUACUCUCUAUAUAAUGCAAUAAACAAUGUCAAUGCUCAUUGCCUACAAGCAAGGCACAAACACUAGAACAAGUAAAGCACAAACCUUUCCCAACAGUUCCCAGUGACUGAUGCAUAGCAUACCCUCAACUCACAGAAGGGGAUGAUAUCAGUGCACUGCAGCACUUAUUUUACACAUACUACCACUACUACUACUACUACUACUACUACUACUCAUUAGCCAAAGUCACUCAGUUGGGAUGAGUGGAAGGUGGAGGCUUGUGGGGUGCUAUGUGGAAAGGAGUUUGGCUUCUUCUCAGGAGAUGGUAGCUUCGUUGCGCGAGUUGAAGGAGGCUUAAUCUUCUGUGGUGGAUUGUAUGAGUCUUUGGCACUCUCUUCUCUCGUUCAGGUGAGUACCCAGGGGUGUAUCCAUAAUGCGGUGGCUUCUAUCCCUUAGGUGGUUUGCCAAAUUCAAAAUCGAAGGAUUUUUUUUUUUUUAAGUAAACAUCUCUUUGAAAGCUUUUAUUUUGUAUGGCAAAUGGAAUGAGACGAGCUGUCAUAUUCUAUUUGGCCAGAGCGACAUAUCACAAAUGAACAAGCUAUUUACUGCCACACUGGGCAAAACAUACAUAAUCCUUGUACUUCAAACAUCCAUGAAUUCUCAUCAUUUUCAGGACAUGUUGCAUGGUUUAUCAUUCUAUAUGUCGGCAUAGUAAGUGCAGCUAAUAAGCCUAUUCAGAGCCGAAAUUCAAAAUCUAUUCACAGGAUAAUGACCUUAUUAUUGGAUUUUGCUCACUGUCAUACACACAUAUCAGAUAAAGCCCCACAUGCUCAUAAGCUACAAGCAACCUACAAGCACUAAAUGAGUGUUAGACGUAUGAAACAUUCCCCAAUACUAGUAGUAUUCCCUGUUCCAUAGGACACUAAAUUAGAAGAGAGAAGAUGUGAGACUCCAGCUUUUCUUUCUACAUAUUACUCAUAUCAAGUCGGAAUAGUUAGGUGGUAGAGGCUUGGGGUGCCUUGUGUAGUCUAGGCAGCUUCUCUCAGAAGUUGAUUUCGUCUUAAUCUGGAUGUCCAGGUUUCAUCCUUUCGAAUUUCCCAUGCAACUCAGCAUUCUCCUUGGGAAACUUCACUCCAUUGGGAAACUUCACUCCAUUGGGAAACUUGUGUGAAUCUUUGGCAUUCUCUACCAGAGAAGGCCCAGGGUAGUGACCAUAAGGUGGUGGCCUUUUUUCAGGUGGUGGCUCCUCUCCCACUGGAGGCUUGUGGUAAUCAGCAAGAGAGGCAGUGGAGAGAAUCAUCACCCCAAGGAACAGCACUAGCAAGUAUGUGUGAGCCAUAUUUGGGAUCUGAUGAUGAAGACUAGAAGAUAGGAGUGGCCUCUUAUAAUGGGUUGGAGACUAUAUCUCAAGGGGACGUGUAUUUAUGCAUAUGAUCUAUAUAGGACCUUCCUCCUAAUAUUUUCAAAAUAAUGUUAUUGUCUCUCUUGGGUGACGGUUUGAUUUGGUCUAUUUCCA